CAUGUCCUAAACCCCCACCAAAACGACGAUUCUUAAACAGUAACUUCUCAUUUUCAACUUCCUUGUUAACAACAUCAGCAUGGACAUAAUUUUCUACAACAAAUACAAGCAAGAGAAUAAAAAUUCCAACACUACGAGCAGAUAAUAAUAAACCCAUUAUUUAUGACCUAAAUUCUUAAACCCAAUGUAUAAGAAAUGAACUAAAAUUAAGGACAUGCAAGAAUGUUUACUAUAUGAGCCUAUUAUAUAGUGCAAGAAAAUCACACAUGGUCUUUGUAACUCAACUGUCACCUUCUACUCUAAUUGAGUAAAUGCAUGCUUGCUAUACUCUCCAAUUGGUUAGAACUUAGAAGAUUUAAUUCUUGCAACUGCCCCUCUUCCCACAUUAAUUAGGGCGCACUAUGUUGAAUUUUAUGGUACUCCGGUGCUCUUAAACCUGACGCGGAUUAGAUAUAAUAAUAUAAGAAAUGUAUAAAGAUACGUUUGCAUAGGAUUUAAAAACACUUUGAAAAUUAAGAAAAUAUCAUUGAAUAUUUGAUUUUCAUGUCGAACCUUAAAGUUAUGAAGUUAAUAUGUGUAUUUGAAUCUCUUGAUCACCAUGACCCCUAAAUCCUACCCCACACACUUGCAAAGUCACAAAGAUAUAAUUAUUUUCAUUCUUGCUUUUAAUUUGACUUUUAGAGUGUCUCUCAUUUAUUAUGAAUUUAUCCCAUAGUUCCACGUUACAAACAAAGACACUUUAGAACAAUGUGAAACAGUGGACGAAUCCUAAUUUUCAGUUUAAACAUGUGAAUAUAAAUCAUGGAUUCACCUAUGAGUCAACCCAUGUAAACUAGUGUUAGAAUAAAGAUUUUCCAAUAAGCAACUUCAAUUUAUUGUGAUUCAGCAUCUAUUAUGUUUACAUAAAAUAAUAAUUUUAAUUGUAAGUAUAUAUAUUAUAAUUUUAUAUGUAUUCUAAAAUAAAUUCAAUUUAUUCUUAUGAUCAAACAUAAUUUUUCAAAUGUCAGUUUUCACUUUAAAAGCAAAAACUUUUAUCAAUUACUCAUAAAUUCAUUGACUUGUGAACUACUUAUUAUAAUGAAUCAAAUAGAAGACUUCUUCCAUGAUAUCUAAACUUGAUGUUAUCUUGUAAGUUGGGCUCUUAAUAUUGUUGGGUCCUAAUUGUAUGCCAUUAAUGGUGUAAUUAAUCUAUUUUUCCUGCCAACAGUUUGUGGUUUGUCUUUCUCUUUCAUUGAAAAAUACUUUGAUCUAAAAGUAUUCAUUGACUUUAUCAAGCAUGACUUUGUUCCUAUCACUACUCUUCCUCGAAGUUUUUCUUAAAGUAAGUAAUAAUAGUGUUAUAAUGAGUUUGUUAAUAUCUCGAUUAAUCUACUAUUUUUUUUAAGUAAGUAAUAAUAGUGUUAUAAUUAGUUUGUGAACAUCUCGAUUAAUCUACUAUUAUUUGUAUAUUGUCUACUAUUAUUAUAUAUAUGAAUCGAAUAAUGAUUUUAUCAUCGAGAUCUAGACUAACGAAAAAUAAUUCAUUUAGUAUUGUUGCAUCCAGUUUUUUAAAAGGCAAGUUUGGGACUCUUCUCAAUAUGGGGCAUUGACGAAUUAAAACGGUUUAAUUGUAUUAUUUUGAUAUUUCUGCUUUGAGAAAUUUUUUUGUGCAAAGGUUAGAUUUAGUUGUAUUAUUUUGAUAUUACUUGGUUAUAGCUAACAGGUGGUAAAAUGUGGAUCAACUUUGAAAUUUUUUUUUGAUAAAGAUUAAGUUUAGUUAAAUAAAUUCUUCAUCUUUACAUAUUCAAAAGAUGUCGAAUUUAAUUCUUGUAUUCAUCUUUAUUAUUUAAACAAGGGAAAAUGUACGAAUAUACUCCUGAACUUUAAUAAAUGGUACAGAUGUACCAUCCAUCAUACUUUUGGUAUAAAUAUACCUUUUGCGUUAAUGAAAAGUUACAUAUAUACCCAUAAACUUUAAUAAAUGAUAUAAAUAAACCCUCCAUCAUAAUUUAGGUAUAAAUAUACCUUUGUCGUUAAUGAAAAAGGUACAUAUAUGUCCCUAAACUUUGAUAAAUGGUACAGAUAUAUUCUUCGUCAUACUUUAAGCACAAAUGUACUCUUGUUGUUAAUAAAAAGGUAUAUAGAUACCCUUCUCACUAACGGCAGGACACGUGUCACAAUCUUGUUUAUUUGUCUUUUUUAGUUUAACUAGUCAAGUGUACGUGUUUUGAAUGUGUGUCUCACAACAAAUAAAAUUAUUAAAAAAUAGUCACCCACGUUAAAAGUUUGUAUCUAUUCAAAUCAUAUAAAUGCAAUAAUAUGUAUCUCAAAUACUUGGACAUUUAAUUGUCUAUCAAUAAUAGAUGAUAAUUUAUUAUUGUAAACUUCAAGUUUAUACUAAAAUUUGAGAAAACUUACAUCAAGUCACAAACAAACUUAUCUUUUUAAUAAUAAAUACUAUGACAUUUGUCUAUCAAGAAUUUAUUAUUAAAAAUCAUAGAUAUUAUAAUAAUUGUCAAUCAAGAAUUUAUGUAGUUAAAACUUUAGGAAUAUACUAAAACUUUAAAAAACUUAACUCGUGACAACCGUAAUAAAAAAAAAAUCUAAAAUUAAAAGGGUUUUCAUAUAUAUAAAGUAGACGAUCCAUAAAUCAAAAAAUACACUAAUUAAUAUUUUAAAAAUAUUUCACAUAUUCAUAUAUUUUAAUAACUAUUUUCCAUAAAAAUAAUUUUCUUACCUUAAAAGACAAACCUUUCUCAUAGAUUUUGAAAAAUUCAGCUAGUUUGUCUACAUUAGAAAAUCAAUAUUUUCCAUAAAUGUAGGAAAACACGUAGAAAACAUUAAGAAAAUAAAAUUUUUCCCUUAAAAAUAGAAAAAUUCAACAAAUUUACACCUAACAAAAUUCUUCUCUAUUAUUUUUAAUACUAGGUUGAUUUCUCCUAUUUGAAACAUUGAAGCUUCUUUUUUUUUUUUGCUAUUUCAAUACACGUCAUGCAUAAAAUGUUCACCUUCUUGUAUAGCCAAAAAAUAACAUUCUAAUACAUUUAUAAGUGUCAAGAGUUCGAAUCUCACUAUUGCAUAUGCUUUCUGCUAUUCAAGAUUAAUCAAUUUCAAAUUUUAUCGUUAGAAUGUGGAAUUAAAUUGUAUAAUGAAUCCUUUUUUUUUUUUUACGGAAUAAAAAUUGUAAUCAAUAGGUCAAAAUAUGUAUUAUGCAAAAUCAAAUUACUCAAUUAUAUAUUUUCAAUUGAAUCAUUGAGUUUGGUAUCUUAUUUAGGUGACUAUGGUCCUUUCUUCACAUUAACCGUAUUACAACAAGGAGCUCUGCCGAAUUAACUAAAUGAGUUUAGAUUAAAGCAAAUAUAAAUACACCACGAAAAUUAAUAUGAGAUGUGAAAACAAAUUAAAUGAGACCUGAAUAAAGAGAAAAGUGUCAAAUAGUUGACAAGUUCAUUUCCGAUCAUGUAAUUUUACAAAUGUAAUAAAAUAAAAAAUAAUUGAAAAAAGGUAGAUGGGACUCACAGAAUUGCUGGUAGAAAUGUGCGAGUUCAUCGGUUAUAAAAGAUCUUUUUUAGGAACUAUAACGUCACGUGACAACAUUCUUUUCAUAAGAAAUUCCUAUAUCGAUCUAUCUAUUAUUAAAGAUUUUGUUAAAGAUUUUUAAUAAUUAGGAAGAGAUUUAUUCAUUUGCUUUUGUAAGUACGUUUCACUCAUCUCUUCAUAGACUAAUUCAAACUGAAUGUUUAAUCUGAACAAUAUUUAAUAAUUAUAAAUUAGAUAAAAUAUCAUCAAUUAAGAUCAAUAGCUACAAAUUGAUAGAGGAAGAGGAUCCAAGAGGUCAAGAAUUUGUUUGUUUAAGUUAAUGUUAAAGUUUUACUCUCUGCUUGCCUCCCUUUUCUGUACCAAAAUACUGAAAUUAAGAUUUAUAUAUCUAAACCAAUGUAUAUAUAGGGACUAACUUAGAGCAAGAAAACAUAGAAAAAGAAAAGCACACAAGCAAAUGCUUAGAAUUUGGACAAAAUAUAUGUCAUUUGCAAACCGGCCAGAUGUAUGGUAAUCAAUCGACUAAAAGUUUCUUUCAAUCAAAAAGUCGCUAACUUUAGAGAAGCUAAUCAAGUUGCGGAUAAUCUAGCUUCUCUAUAUCACAAUCAAGAGAACAUAUGUAUAGAUAACACUUUUGCUUACCUCCCUCGUCAAGUUAAAGGGUUGACGAAUGUGGAUGGAUAGAUGACAAUUACAUUCAUUUAGAGUCGAGAAGAAAAGACCAAACCUGCUCACAUAUGAACCUUACUACUUUUUUUUGCUUACAUUUUAUCACUUUUUGUCCAGCUUUGUCUCUUUCUUUAGUCUGGAUAAUUGUUGCAGGGCGUAAACUAUAACAUUAACUUAAACAAGCAAAUUCUUGGGUUUUUGGAUCCACUUCCUAUGUCAGUUGAAUUUAGAGCGAAACUCGUGCCUGAUUAUGUCCCAAAUAUUUUGGGAUUAUAUCAUCUAAUGAACGUUAAUUAAUGUUCAAUCAUAGUUAGAUUCCAAUGAAUAAAACUUUCAGUGCAAGUCCUAUGAAGUUUUUAGCAGAUCACCCUUGCCCUUAUAAAAUAGCCAGUCCAAUAAUUAUUCUGCACUGUAAUAGAAGGAAAAUUACUAGAGAAACUAUCAAAGAUAUUAACUGAGGCCACUAGUAAAUGAUUGUUUCCAGCUAAAGCGCGCUGCAAAUUAGUUGCUAUAGCUAGAAGCGAGAGACUUUUUGCAGCGAGACCAACAGGAAUAUUUGUCAAUGAACAUAGUGAUUGCAUAAGUUUAUUGCAGUAUAGAAUCGAGUAGAUCCCAACAGAAGUAAUGGCGCUACAUGUAUUAAAGUCAUGACUUGAAAUUUACUCCCAGAUCCCAUACACAAAGAUCUGAUGUAGUUCCACAAACAGUGACAAGAAAGAGGUUCACAUCAUGAAUAACGGAAACUGAUUCAAAAUUCAUUGAUCAAAGAAAGUGUAAUCAAUAGGAUAAGCAAAUUUCCUUGAAGCUGCCUGCAACUAAAGUUGAACAAUAAUUGCAAGGAAUGUAAAAUUUUAGCGGAAAAUCAAAUUUGUAGUACACUCACCUCUUUUACAAUACCUUCAUUAUAUUUUCCAUGCUCAACAUUGGGUAUUAUUUCAUCCAAAGGCAGUUCACUUGUCGGAAUGCCAUCCUCUCUUUCUCCAUAAAGAAAUUAUCAAGAUACAUACCAUCAAUUAUCUCAAGCUCCACAAAAAAAUCAGUUAGUUUCAUAUAUUCAAAGGUCUCAAAAUCAAAUUUAUAAUGACAAAGAACCACAAUUCAGAGAAGUUGUAGUAGCAUACCACCCUGCCAUGACCAUUUUAAUUGGAGCAUCUUAUUGGCGCAGCAUAUAUCUGACCUUUUGUGGAACAUCUCGUGUGCAUCCAUUUGCUUUUGCAUUCAGACUGGUUAUCAAAUUUUUGAGGCAAAGAUUUACUGGUUCACUGUGGAUCAAAUUCAUCCAAUUGCUUGUUCUGAAAAAUUCGUUGGUAGCACCACAAAGCUGCUCAUCGAGAUUGAUAAGUUGUGUUUUUUUACAAUUUCACAAAAAUGUGUGUGAUGCACACAUGCAUUGCUUCUAUUUUUUUUUUUUCUUUUUGUGAAAGUUUUGUUUGUUUCCUUUUUUUUUUUUUUUUUUUUCCCAGAAACUUUGGCAAAGUUUAUUAUUUUAUUAGGUUAUUCUAAUUAGGGUUUUUAAAAUGGGUAAAUUAGUAAUUUCACUUUAAGUUUUUUGAGUUGAACCUUUUAAGGUAGUAUUGAAUAUUGAAUUUAUUAUAGUUAAUAUUCAAUAUUAUAAAAAUAUAAUAAUAUAAUAAUUUAAAUAAAAAAAUGAAAUGACAAUUUUAUCUAUUAUGAAGACUUUUAAUGAAGGGUGAAAAGUUCAAAUCACUUUUUUAAAAGUUUUCACACUUUUAAUAUAUUAUAGAUAUAGAUUAUAGAUUUAUCCACACCUUACCUGAAAAUAAUUCUAAUUUAACCCAUAAAUCGAUUCAAAUAAUAACCAAACCCGACCCGGUCUAAUAGAACCUUCAAGACAUCUUUAUUCACUCAUAUUCAUUCUCUCUUUCUCUUUCUAUUAAACCAGGUCAGAUAUGAGUUAUUAUUUGGAUCGGAUUAUGAGUUAAACUAGAAUUAUUUAGGGGUGGGGCUAGGAUAUAUUAAAUUGAAAAGGUUAAAUGAACAGAAUUGUGAUACAUGUCCUACCGAUAGCGAGAAGGGUAUAUAUGUAUCUUUUCAUUAACUCAAGGGUAUAUUUGUACCUAAAGUAUGACGAAGGGUAUAUUUAUACCAUUUAUCAAUAUUUAGGGGUAUAUAUGUAUCUUUUCAUUAAUGACAAAGAUAUAUUUAUACCUAAAGUAUGACGGAGGAUAUAUCUGUACCGUUUAUCUAAGUUCAGGAGUAUAUUCGUACCUUUUCCGUUUAAACAAAUAUCUUAUUUAAUAUAACGUUUGAAUUCAUUAAAGUGAGGUACACUCGCGAGGCGCGUACACCUAAACUAGUUCUUUAAUAAAUGAAUAAUGCUUAGUGUUUUUCAUCUAUAGAAUAGGAAAAACGAGAGUAGCUAAAUAACAAGUCGUAGUACUGCUUAUUUACUUUUUGAGAAUGUCGUGAGGGUGAAUAUGACUUAAUUUUUUUUUUUAAAUGCAUACACACACACACACACACACACACAUAUAUAUAUAUAUAUAUAUAUAUAUCCGAUAUUUAUAUCUUCACUUGAUUGAUCCUUAUAUUUUUGGCCAAUGUCUCAAAAUUAUCAUAAUUUAUUAAUUUGUUAUUUGAAAGCACUUUAUUUUUAUUCAUGGAGGAGUGAUGUUUUAAUUAUAAUACUAACAGUUUGUUGAUUUAUUUUUUUGGGGUGUAAACUGCAUAGUAUGAUAGCCAUAAUUUUUAAAACUUGCGAUUCUUUUAUUGUUUGAAAGUUCAGAGGUUAGAGUUGGUUUAUAUCACAUAAGAACUUUUAUAUCAUUAAAUUAUUUCUACAAUGAUGUUAAAAGUUUUGUUUUCUAUGAGUAUUUUUAAUCAUGUUUUAAAUUUUGAAAAAUUAUUUAUGUAUUCUUUUUUAAAAUUGUUGUGUUAUUAUAAUAGUUAACUAGGUUAUAAGUUAAAACUAAAGAUUCACGGGUGUAAAGGUUUUAUGAAGAUAUGAGACUUGAUUAUUAUUUACAUAGGAGUUCUUCCUCAAUACAUACAAGAUGCUAUAUAAAGUGUAAUUGAACACCAACUCUUUAUAAACUAUACAAUUUUAAUCAUAUGUAAAGAGAUAAACUAUACAAUUCUAAUCAAAUGUAAAUAUAAAUGUGACUUUUAUGGUGUUUUAACAUGCCCCCGUAAGCUGUGGUUGUGAAACUGCAAGCUUGGAACGCAAGAGAUGAAACCGAUGGGAAAGAAGGCUCUUGGUGAAGAUGCCUGCUCAGGAGCGGAGCCACCUUUGGUUUAGGGGGUCAUCCGAACCUAAAAUUAUAUUAUUUAAAUAUGUUUAUAAUAAUUUUUUAUGUAUAUAUAGUGAGGUUGAACCCCCUUCGGCUCGUGCGUAUGUUCACUUUUUCAAUUUUUGAAACCCCUUAAUAGUACUCCUGGCUCCGCAGUCUGCUAACUGAUCUAAGGAACUGAUUUAGCGAACGUUUAGGUCCUUUGAGGCCACUAUCUCUCGAACAAAAUGAAAAUGUUAUUCAAUAUGUUUGGUUCGCUCAUGAAAAAUAAGAUUGGCAGUGAGAUAGGUAGUGGACAGAUUAUCACACCGUAGUGUGGGAGCUUGGGGAAGAGAGACACACAACUCUUGAAGAAGAUGUUGCAUCUAGGUAACUUCGAUAGUAGCCGCAGCUAAGGUCCAAUAUUCAGCCUCGAUACUAGAUCGUGCAACCACUCGCUGCUUUUUUGAGCUCCAUGACACUAAAUUGGGUCUAAGAAAUAGAUAAUAACCAUUGGUAGAUCGUCGAUAAUCUGGGCAACCAGUCUAGUCCGCAUAUAUGAAGGCCUGAAAUGAUAAGGAGCUAGCGAAAUGCAAGUGCAAGCCGAGGUUUAUGGUUGCCUUUAAAUAGAGCAACAAGUGUUUUAUAGCAGUGUGAUAAGACUCCAUAAAUUUAUGCAUGAAUUCACAUAAUUUGUUGACAGUAAAUGACAACAAAACUUAUAUACUUUUUUUUAUUGAUAAGAGGGCAUUACAAUUACAUAGUCCAUGAGUUUUUUUGAAACAAGAUGGACAAAAGCUUUUGCUUUUUCUUUUGAUCACUAGCUUAACAAAAUACACUAUAGAUUAUGAUAGAUAUAGACUUGUUUGAGUACUAGAAAUACUAUAUUUUCAACAAGUUUCACAAAACAAUAAUAGUAUCAAAGUAAUUAACUACUUGAUAUAUAAAAGCACAUAGGACACAAUUCCAAGGGACUAUACCGAGUUGGAGAGUCGAGCAAGGUUCUGUCGAGGUUUCGAUCUGCGACUCUGUCAUUACAUCAAAAACAAAAAUUACAAGUUAAAACAUGAAUAAAAUUACAAAAGUCCUAUCUAUGCGGCUUCUUUUGGACUCUUGACUUGAGUUUCAUCACCCUAUUCUUCAGGCGGGCUCCUGACUUGUAAUUUCUUCAACUUGUUGCCUGACUUUCAAUUUCUUCACCCUGUUCUCCAGGUGGGCUCCUGACUUGAUAUUUUUUAAUUUGUUGACUUUCAAUUUCUUCACCUUGUUGUUUUACUUUUCAUUUAUUCACCCUGUGUGUCGGGCGGGCUCUAAUGUUGCUCGAAUUAUCAAAACAAGGAAGUGCGUUUCCUUACAAAUGCCACUUGAAUUAUCCAAACAGAGAAGUGCGUCUCCUUAUAGAUGUUGCUUAAACUACCAAAGAAAGGAAGUGCAUGUCCUUACAAAUGCCACUUGAAUUACCAAAAUAAGAAAGUGCGUCUCCUUACCAAUGCCGCUUGAAUUACCCAAACAAGGACGUGCGUCUCCUUACAAAUGCCGGUUGAAUUACCCAAACAAGAAAGCGUGUCUCCUUACAAAUGCCGCUUGAAUUGCCAAAAUAAGUAAGUACAUCUCCUUACCAAUGCCACUUGAAUUAUCUAAACAAGGAAGUGCGUCUCCUUACCAAUGCCGCUUGAAUUACCCAAACAAGUAAGUGUGUCUCCUUACCAAUGUUGCUUGAAUUAACCAAACAAGGAAGUGCGUAUCCUUAGAAAUGUCACUUAAAUUACCGAAUAAGAAAGUGCUUCUCCUUACCAAUGUCGCUUGAAUUACCCAAACAAGGAAGUGCGUCUCCUUACAAUGCCGGUUGAAUUACCUAAACAAGGAAGUGCGUCUCUUUACAAAUAUCACUUGAAUUACCAAACAAGGAAGUGUGUUUCCUAAAAAAUGUUGCAUGAUUUUGAAUGUUAAAUCUAUGCAGCAACAUUGCCUCUUGCAUUUGUAGAAGUCAGAAUAUUACGACCUUUGAUGUUUAGGCUUUGAAAUCCUUGAUUUGAAAGUAGAAUGUAUUCCUAUUUCAUACAAAGAAAACUUGUUAGUUUAAAAACAUAGUGGAUGGAUUGUGGCUUUGGAUUUCGUGGAAAUCGCUCUUUCCCCUGUCACAUUUAAUCAUGCUUUCAACCAUUAGCAUGUGUCACUGACUUGCUGCAUCAUUGACCCAAACUCAAAUUAUUAAGAGUGACUCUGAAACAGAUACAGUAUCUCUGCUUUAUCAUGCUUCUCAGGUAAACCCUUUGAACCUUGGUAUUUCCAUGAGUUCCCAGACUUGUCGGUUGAUAAAACUUUCUGCAUGCCUUAUUUCGGCUCACAAUUAUGUCUCUUUUAUGUCUUUCUUUUGCGCAAUUGAAGAAGAUGGUAGCUAAUUUUGAAGUCUUUUCUCACUUGUUUUGACAUGGACUUGACUCAAAGACAAGAGAAAAAAUGACAAUGAUUUUAUUUGGACAACUGACUAAAGAAAAUAAAAUAAAAAUAAAGAGAAGAAAGAAAAGAAAAUGAAUGUCCCCAUAUGAAAUAAAGAAAUGAAAAAUUUAUCUAGAAUUGACAGUCAACUCUAAUGAUUAUACUAUGCAUUUUGAAUUAAGCUGCCUGAUUUUUCCAUCCAAACUUUUUACCAAUUGUUGUUGAGUUAAUUGGCUCUGAAACUAAGUUACUUGCUUGAACCCAUUGCAUUCUAAGAGCUCAUUCGGCUAGUGGCACAUUGAAGGAUUUUUGCCAACAAGACUCUCUCAUUUUUCUCUCAACUCACCAUCGCCUUAUGGUGCCCGUGAGGGUUUUCACCAAUAAGACUCUCUCAUUUUUACUUGUCUCAACUUACCAUCGCCUUAUGGUAACCGUGAUGGUUUUCACCAAUAAAAUUCUCUCAUUUUUAUUUCUCUCCUGAUUUCUUAUGCUGAGGAGGACGCGUAGUUCCUAAAAUAUGUCAUCACAUCCAUUGCAUGCUUAGCCUUGACAUUCUUAAAGAUUGAUCUGAAGGUCUUUCUUUGGUUGUAACUUGGCUUUUGGAUAGGGUUAGAAAGAAAGGAUGGGAUGGGGCCCAAACGACACUUGAAGUUGGGUGGGACUUACAACUUUUGGAAUUGACUCCAAUAAUGAGGAUUAACUCAUGCCUCUGUUUCUUUUGAUUGGGUAAUUCUAAAUUGUUUAUUUAGUUGGACCGAGCCCAAAGUAGGGCAACCUACGUAUCUCACCCCGAGAGAGGAUAAUAAGGUCACGCGUAGUUCUGGCAUCUUGUUCUUUUGUUUGAUUCUGAGUUCUUUUUUUUUUAUGGACUCUUUUCUUUUGAAACUUUUCUCACUCUAUUCUUUUGCUCAACAUUUUUCUUUUGAUCUUUGUUGACUCUAUCUUGAUUUCAAAAGAGGUGUAUGAAAGAAGAUAAAAUUAUGGCUCAAAUGGAGUAAACAAAGGAUGACACAAUAUUUGGAUAGCAGAAUGAAAUGCCUUCGUCAUAUCAAUCCUUGAAAAUACAAGUACACAUCACGCAAUAUGAAAGUGACAGAUAAUGAUCAUUUGUGACAUUUUUUUUACAACAGUAACUUUGAUUGAGCAUGUGCGCCACUUUUUCUUCUACAUUUGUCAAACAUAUAACUUCAUCUUUGUUGUACAUUUCUCAUAUCGAAUGAUCUAUGCUUUUAUGGAGCUGAUUAUCUUCUUGUUUCUCUUGAUAUAGGGAUCACACGUCCACUAUUUGACUUAAUUGGGACCUGCCUGUCAAUUGAUGACCAAGUUGUUCUUGUGAUUCUCAAAAUAAUUUCCUUAACUUGUCAUCAAAUGUCUCAGCACUCUAUCUAUUUUCUCAUAAGCUUUUUUUUCUAACUUUAACCCUCUGAUUCAAAGUUCAUGUUUAAAAUGAAUUUUAAGAUCUGGCUGAAAAUUUCACUAGCAUGUCAUAUCACUAGAGUCAGCAUAAAAUGUACUAUGUAAAGAAAACAAAAAAAACAAUACAUAUUUAAAAUACAAAGAAAAAUGGGACACUUCAUUUAGUUGAAACAAAAGAUAGAAAGGUUUGAACAUAAACGACAAAGCGAGAUAGAUCUCAAACUACAACCCAAAAAUAAUUUGGACAAUAAAAAAUAAAACAAAACAAGCUACCAGACCUCUUCUAGUUGGGAGAGGGGUGACUUCUCAAUUGCUCAGCCUAACAUUUUAGCCAUUGAUUUGCAUAUCAGCAUGACUAGAGUUUUCCUCACUGUCAAUGUUCUGCACCAUAAUUGAUCCAUCUUGAAUCUUCUUUUCAAUUUCUCUUUUCAAAUCUCGACAAUUUUCAAUAGUAUGACCCUAAGCAUCAGAAUGAUACGCACAUCGUGCAUUAGGAUUAAAAUUUCUUAAACGCCGAUUAGGAGUGUACCCAAGGAGAGGAGUAGUCAUGCCCCUCUGUAUCAAUCUCUGGAACAAACUGACAUAGGAUUCCCCAUUAGGAGUGAAAUUAUCCUUUUCUUUCCCCCUCCUUGCAAACUCUGGCCUCGGAUGAUAUUUGGAUUUAGAGGUUCCUUGGUAAAUUUGUGGGGGUCGAGGACGAUGUUGAGGGACAGAUGCAUUCCAUUGUGGAUAAGAAGACGGAUGGGUACACAAUUGUGCAUUGUUCAAAGGACAUUGAGGAAGUAGAAUGAAACUCCUUGGAUUUUGAAAAGAGGAACCUUGUUGCAGAUGAGUAAGUGGAUUUGAUAUGUAAGCUUGAGAUUCAGGCUGACAGUAUUGGUGAGUUGGACCUCUUAAACUUUGCUUUGGUCCUGGCACGACAAUAGGUGCGUUUUCCUUCUUCUUUCCUUCAGUUUCCCUUGAUUGAUUACAAUAUUGUCCUAAAUGUUUCACAGAAUCAUGCUGUCCACCAAGCUCCUCAAAUUUUGAUGUCUUAAAGCUUGGAGGAAGGUUAACACUUGACAACAUGCCCCAGCUUUUGUAUGAAACAUCUUCAUAGCCUACAAGUCCCAAGGAACUUUUCAUAUCAUUUUCUACACUCUUAACUUUCCCAACCAUUUCCUCUGGCUCUUCUAGCAUGCUAGGCUUCUUAGUAAGAAAUUUUGGCGGUCCACUUAAUUCAACUGUAGGAUCAAGAGUAUAACAAUGAUCAUCAAGAGUAUUGAACGUGGAUUCACUAGUGGACUGGGAAAGCACAAUCGUUGGAUUGAUAGCCAAAGUGGAAACCUUAAUAGAAGGUUGAGCAACUAAAGCACAGAUGGUAUGUGGUGCUAGCACAGACGGCAUGUGGUUCUGUGAAUAUGGUAGACUUAUACUGAAGAGCUAAAGAAAGAGUGUUGGAAGUAUUGAGGUGCAUUUGAUGUGGAAUGAAUUAUGAGGCAUGUGGUGGUGUAUCAACAACAGAAGGAAACUGACUUUGCGAUUUUGGUGGAAGCCUCAAGGUAUUUGCAUGGUCAAAAGUGGGGAACGGAGGUGGAGACAGUCCACUGGCCCAAGCUCGGUACAUUUCCAUCAUUUGUUGUCUCAGUCUCAAAUUCUCUUUCUUUAAACUCUCAAUUUCCUGACUCUUUAUUUCAUCCAUGAUUCCACUCUCUAUAUCCUUGUUGGACACAACUAACCCUUCCUUGGAUUUAGUGUGAUGUGGAGGACCAGCCAGGAAGCCACAAACCAACCACCUUAAACUAACUGAACCAGAGGCAACAAAUAUGUUAGAGUUCAACAUUUUCUUCAAAACCUUAUUUUUUUAGAAUAGAUCACCGAACCCAAGAAGGGCGCCUACGUAUCUCACCCCCAAAAGAGGAGAAUCAAGUGUACGUAGCUCGUGAAGUCUAGCCAAAAUGGCCGAUUAAACUCUUUUUCCAUUUUUUUUCUUUUUCUUGAAACUUUAAAAAGAAAAGGAAAUAACAAAUUGUCAAAAGAGUUGACGAAAAUCUUUUUGCAUUUUUCUAGUUUAAACUCCAUAUACAAAAUGAAACCUAUGAUUACCAAAGAAAAAUCUUUUUGAGUUUUCAAUUUUGAAUUUCAUAUGAAAAUGAAACUCGAACCUAUUAAAGGAUUUUUUUUUUUAGUUUUCUUUUAAAGAAGUAUAUGAAACACCUACUCUAAUAAAGAGUGAAGAAAAUCUUUUUUUUUUUUUGAAUUUUUCAAAUAAGAUCCCCGAACCAACAAUAGGUUGCCUACGUAUAUCACUUCAGAGAGAGGAGAAUCAGGGGUGCGUAGUUCGUCCAGAUUGGAUAAUUAAGGAUUAAAUGACAAACUAAACCCUGAAUUGAGAGACACAACUAAAGACAGACGAUGAAAAUAAAAUAUUUUUUGGGUUUUUAAUUAGAAACUAACACCAACCAUUAUGAAAGAAAAAAUCAUUUUGAUAUUUUCGUUAUAUAAAAAUGUACAAAGCUCCUAUUGAAAGGAAAUUUUCUUUUUGGAGUUUACGAAUUGUGAAUGCUUACUAAAGAAAUAAAAGAAAUUUUUUUUAACGUUUUUGAUUUUUUGGGACAUGAGUGCAAAAAGUAAAAAGAAUAUUUUUUUGAAUUUUUGAAUUGUGAAAAACAAAAGCCAUAAAGAACCCUAAAAAUUACCAAAUCUCUUUUUUUUUUCCACUCUUUUUUUCUUCCUUUUUUCAACAAUUUCCUUCCUAUACACUUUGUUUCUAACUCGUGCUUUUGUCCAAAUCAGUCUGUCAAAUGACCUCGUCACCCUCAAAGUGCAACAUUUAGCACGUAGGGAUGCUUUAGAGGUGAGUUUCCUAUAAAUGACCAAGUGGUCCCUGUUAGGUCUUCAAUAUGAUACACAUAAGCAUUACCUAAAGGCUGACCUACGUUGGGGUUCACUAACAAGGCUGUUCGGGGGAGCGUAUGGUCGAUAGUGGCUGCUUUACUUUCCACCUACUCCAUAACACCGACGGCUCCCUACCUAAAAUAAGGGCGACUCAACUAGAGUUUGUGUACACGACGUGCACUCCAGGACAUGUUGUAGAAAGAAUUGACUCGGGUUAUGCACAUGAUGCCAGCUAUAAAGUGAUAACACAUAAGAUAAAAACUAUAAACAAAGAGCAAGUAGGAACUCAACAAUGACAAACAAUAGCACAAAACAACACAAACAAAAUGUCCUUACACCUAUAGUGCCAAACUAAGUCGAUACAACUCCAAAAAUAAGCUCGAAUUCUGAAAUUGUCCCCAGCAGAGUCGCUAGAGCUGUCACACCCUUUUUUAACUCCCAAAAAGAAUUGAUUUUAUGGGUCGAAAGGGUUCUUAUUAUUAAAGUGACAAAAAAUGAGAUUUGUUUCAAAAAGAUUCAUUUUGCAAUUAACUCAGAGUCGCCAUUUGUCAUAAAUUGGGUGUGCCAAGUCACCCUUGGAUAUCCUUUUUCAAAAUGGUUUUGACUCUUUAAAACUGUUUUGCGAACAGAGAUUCCGGCUAAGGAAUUCUGUUGAUCGAGGAAAAGGUGUUAGGCAUCCUUCGAUCCCGUGGUUCGACCACGGUCGCUUGAUGGAGUGUAUCGGCUAAUUUGACAUUACAAAUGUAUAAACCACACAAAAUACAUAAAACAAUCAAUCAAACACAGGAAACAAAAGAAAUCCAAAAUUAUAGGAUCCAGUACUAUUAUUACAACCCAAAAUAAAAAAAAAGCUCUGAAAAGUAAACCUUUACUAAUCCUAAACUAUGCUCCAAUGCUUUAUCCGAUGCCCCGGGCCUUCAUCGAGAACGUCUCCCGAAUACAAGGUACCUCGGGGCAUUCCCUGGUGAAUGAAGACAAAUGACCACGGGGCAUUCCCCGACUAAAUGAAUACAUUUUCAAAAGCGAGAAAAAGAGAAUUAUUCAACAAAAAAAUCAACAAAACACCGUUAUUUACCUAUCUGACUUAGUAUUUGCCUACCCAUUUAAUGAUCUAAAACAUGAUACUAGCAAUUUCAACAAUAUCCAACAAUGAAUCAAAAUACCACAAUAUUCACUUUUUAUCAUUUUCGCAAUUCUGCCCCCAAAUUCAUUCUCAACGAUGAUUAACAUAUGCUUUGAUUAUCAAAUCACUUUUCAAAGUCCAAAAUCAACAUCAACCAACACAUAACAAAGAUUCAAACAUAUCAAACACACAAAUCAUUCAUAAUUACAUAAAAAUUAAAGGAAGAGGAGAUAGAAUUGGACCUCGAUUUUUAUUUCAAUCCCAAAUUAUUCAACAAAGCUACCAUCGGAAUACCCCUAAUUGAACCUCAACAGCAAUGAAACCCAACUCCGUAUAGAGGAACAAAAAUCCAAAAACUGCUCACAAAUGACCCGAUUGAGAUGAAAAAUCAAAUCCCAAACCAAUAUAAGCCUGGAGCGUUCAAAAUAGAAAUCGAAACUCAGCCCGAUUGAGAUUUUUCAUAAGAAAAUGAUUGAAACAAUGUGACUAAUUCCUUUUAACAGCGGCCACGUCUAUCAAAAGCAACAGAUUUCAGCGAGUUUGAGGACUUCGGAAUUGAGUACAUGGAAACAAAUGAACUGCUCACUAAUUCCAGUGAAAAUUUCACCGGAAUUUCUUGAACAACGAUCGGAUUCCCCUCCCCCCCGAUCUCUCACUCUCGAUUCUCUACUGCAUCUCUCUUUCUCUUUCUCCGUUAUUCUCUCUCUCUCUUCGUAACUCUCUCCCUCUCUCUCUCUUGAUUUACCCUUUUUUUGUGUGUGUAAAAUUGUGUGUUAAUAGAGUUGUUGCUAUGUUCUCUCUCACUGUGUGGGUGUUGCUCUCGGGUGAGCGAUGGAGGAGUGUGAUUGUGAGCUGGUGAAGAAGAAAAAAAAUGGCCUACUUUUUUUUCCUGAGUGUCUAUUAUUUCCUUUAUAUCUCCUUGGACCUUUGUAUUCCUGAGUAUAUAUAUGCAUGGAUCUAUGUGGAAGAGGAGAAAAGUUGGGUCUCUAUCCCUUUUUUGUGUGUUCAAUGAAAAAGGGAGUAUAUAUCUGUGUGUCUUUUUUGAGGGAAAACCAAAAGAAAUGUGAUGUCUCUCAUUCUUGUUGUUUUGGGGCCCCCUCCCUUUUUUUGGUUUAUUUUAUUUUUGUUGCCCCCCUCUAUAUAUAUAAAAAUGGAAAAAAUCCCCCUUUUCUUGGAAUCUAUUAAAAGCAAAGGAAAAAAAUAUGAUUUGGGGUAAGGUAGGCGUCUAGGGGUUAGUGGAGUAGGUAGGGGGUAUUGGGUGAGGGGUAGGUGGUUAGGAUAAAGUUUGUUGGGAUAAGGGAAUAUUAGGGAUUUAAUUUGUUAGAGAUUUAUUGAAUUUUUUUGUAUUUUUUUUGUGGGGGUAUAAUCACAUGUGUUAGAGUGUAUGAUAAAGUGAGGUAAAAAUGAAUAAAAUUGGACUUGAGAGGGACAAAAUUAGGUGUCUACAGCAUGCCCCCUUUGAAUAUAAACAUGAAGUGUUUUCAGACAAAGAAGUAGACAACGAAACAAAAUUUUGUCCCGACCAUUAUUCAAAAAGAAUGAAACAGAAGGAAGGAGGGAAACCAAGUCUUGACUUUAGACAUCAUACUUAGCCCUAGUUAUGAGGGAAUCAAGUCACAAGUAUCCCCAAGGACUGAAAGAAGAGGGACUAUACCGAGUUGGAGAGUCGAACCAGGUUCUGUCGAGGUUCCGAUCUGCGGCUCUGUCAUUACAUCAAAAACAAAAAUUACAAGUUAAAACAUAAAUGAAAUUACAAAUGUCCUAUCUAUGCGGCUUCUUUCGGACUCUUGACUUGAGUUUCAUCACCGUAUUCUUCAGGCAGGAUCCUGACUUGCAAUUUCUUCAACUUGUUGUCUGACUUUUAAUUUCUUCACCCAGUUCUCCAGGUGGGCUCAUGACUUGCUAUUUUUUAAUUUGUUGACUUUCAAUUUCUUCACCUUAUUGUUUGAGUUUUCAUUUAUUCACCCUGUGCUUCGAGCGGGCUCCAAUGUUGCUCGAAUUAUCAAAAUAAAAAAGUACGUCUCCUUACCAAUUUCUCUUGAAUUAUCCAAACAAGGAAGUGCGUCUCCUUACCAAUGUUGCUUGAAUUACCCAAACAAGGAAGUGUGUCUCCUUACCAACGUUUCUUGAAUUAACCAAACAAGGAAGUGCGUAUCCUUAAAAAUGUCACUUAAAUUACCGAAAUAAGAAAGUGUGUCUCCUUACCAAUGUCACUUGAUUUACCCAAAAAGGAAGUGCGACUCCUUACAAUGCCGGUUGAAUUACCCAAACAAAGAAAGUGCGUCUCCUUACAAGUUUCCCUUGAAUUACCAAAGAAGGAAGUGUGUUUCCUCACAAAUGUUGCAUGGUUUUGAAUGCCAAAUUUGUGCAGCAACAUUGCCUCUUGCAUUUGUAGAAGUCAGAAUAUUACGACCUUUGAUGUUUAGGCUUUGAAAUCCUUGAUUUGAAGGUAGCAUGUGUUCCUAUUUCAUACAAAGAAAACUUGUUAGUUUAAAAACAUGGUGGCUGGAUUGUGGCUUUGGAUUUCGUGGAAAUCACUCUUGCCCCUGUCACAUUUAAUCUUGCUUUCAACCAUUAGCAUGUGUCACUGACUUGCUGCAUCAUUGACCCGAACUCAGAUUAUUAAGAGUAACUCUGAAACAGAUACAGUAUAUCUGCUUUGUCGUGCUUCUCAGAUAAACCCUUUGAACCUUGGUAUUUCCAUGAGUUCCCAGACUUGUCGGUUGAUAAAACUUUCUGCAUGCCUUAUUUCGGCUCACAAUCAUGUCUCUUUCGUGUGUUGGCCUUUUGUAUUGCUUUGCGCAAUUGAAGAAGCUGGUAGCUAAUUUUGAAGUCUUUUCUCACUUGUUUUGACAUGGACUUGACUCAAAGACAAGAGAAAAAAUGACAAUGAUUUUAUUUGGACAACUGACUAAAGAAAAUAAAAUAAAAAUAACGAGAAGAAAGAAAAGACAAUGAAUGUCCCCAUUUGAAACAAAGAAAUGAAAAAUUUAUCUAGAAAUAACAGUCAACUCUAAUGAUUAUACCAUGCAUUUUCGAUCAAGCUGCCUGAUCUUUCCAUCCAAAUUUUUACCAAUUGUUGUUGAGUUAAUGACUCUGAAACUAAGUUACUUACUUGAACCCAUUGCAUUCAAAGAGCUCAUUUGGCUAGUGGCACAGUGAAGGAUUUUUGCCAACAAGACUCUCUCAUUUUUCUCUCAACUCACCAUCUCCUUAUAGUACCCGUGAGGGUGUCCAGUUUGAUUAUUACAACCCGAAAUAAAAAAAAGCAUUGAAAAGUAAACCUAUACUAAUCCUAAAUUACGCUCCAAUACUUUACCCGAUGCCCCGGGCCUUCAUCUCGAACGUCUUUCGAAUACAAGGUACCUCGGGGCAUUCCCAGGUGAAUAAAUACAAAUGACCAUGGGGCAUUCCCCGACUAAAUGAAUACAUUUUCAAAUGCGAGAAAAAGAGAAUUAUUCAACAAAACAUUCGAACAUUCAACAAAUCACCAUUCCUAAAAUUUGCCUAUCCGACUUAGUAUUUUCCUACCCAUUUAACGAUCUAAAAUAUAAUACUAUCAAUUUUAACAAUAUCCAACAAUGAGUCGAAAUACCACAAUAUUCACUUUUUAUCAUUUUCGCAAUUCCGCCCCCAAAUUCAUUCUCAACCGAUGAUUAACAUAUGCUUUGAUUAUCAAAUCACUUUUCAAAGUCCAAAAUCAACAUCAACCAACACACAACAAAGAUUCAAACAUACCAAACGCACAAAUCAUUCACAAUUACAUAAAAAUUAAAGGAAAGGGAGAUAGAAUUGUAUCUCAAUUUUUAUUUCAAUCCCGAAUUGUUCGACAAAGCUACCACCGGAAUACCCCUAAUUGGACCUCAACAUCGAUGAAACCCAAAUCCGUAUAGAGGAACAACAACCCAAAAAUUGCUCACAAAUGAUCCGAUUGAGAUGAACAAAAAUCAAAUCCCAAACCAAUAGUAGCCUGGAGCAUUCGAAAUAGAAAUCGUGAUAAACUCAACUCGAUUGAGAUCUUUCAUAAGAAAAUGAUUGAAACAGUGUGACUAAUUUCUUUUAACAGCGGCCGCGUCCGUCAAAAGCAAUAGAUUCCGGCGAGUUUGAGGACUUAGGAACUGAGUACACGGAAACAGAUGAACUGAUCACCGAUUCAAAAUUUCUUGAACAAUGAUCGGAUUCCCCCUCCCCCCGAUAUCUUACUCUCAAUUCUCUACUGUAUCUCUCUCUUUCUCCGUUACUCUCUCUCUCUCUCUCGAUCUACCCCUUUUUCUGUAUGUGUAAAAUUGUGUGUUAAUGUAGUUGUUGCUAUGUUCGCUCUUACUGUGUCGGUGUUUCUACCGGGUUAGCGAUGGAGGAGUGUGAUUGUGAGCUGGUGGAGAAGAAAAAAAAAUGGCCUGCUCUUUUUUUCCUGAGUGUCUAUUCUUUCCUUUAUAUCCCCCUGGACCUUUGUAUUCCUGAGUAUGUAUAUGCGUGGAUCUAUGUGGAAGAGGAGAAAAGUUGGGUCUUUUUUUUUUUUUUGUGUUCAAUGAAAAAGGGAGUAUAUAUCUGUGUGUGUUUUUUGAGGGAAUACCGAAAGAAAUGUGAUGUCUCUCAUUCUUGUGCUUGUGGGCCCCCUUCCCUUUUUUUGUUUUAUUCUAUUUUUGUUGUCCCCUCCAUACAUAUAGAAAUGGAAAAAAUCCCCCUUUUCUUGGAAUCUAUUAAGAGCAAAGGAAAAAAAUAUGAUUUGGGGUAAGGUAGGGGUCUAGGGGGUAGUGGGGUAGGUAGGGGUGUUGGGUGAGGAGUAGGUGGUUAGGAUAAAAUUUGCUGGGAUAAGGGAAUAUUAAGGAUUUAAUUUGUUAGAGAUUUAUUGAAUUUUUUUGUAUUAUUUUUUUUGUGGAGGUAUAAUCACAUGGAUUAGAGUGUAUGAUAAAGUGAGGUAAAAAUGAAUAAAAUUGGACUUGGGAGGGACAAAAUUAGGAGUCUACAUACGGAAUGCUAUAUUUGUAUAUGCAAAAAGAUAAUAAUAUUAAACAUUAUUGGAUAGUGCAUUAUAUUUAUCUUUCACAAUAAUAAAAUUUUACUAUAUAUUUUUCUUUAUUUCUUUUUAACUUGACACAUAUUGACCCAACACAAAUUCUUAGAAAAUAUGCUUUAGAAAUUUAUUUUAUUAAAUUAAAUUUAUUAAUUUUUACUGUAAAAAUUUAAAGUUAAGUUUAAAUAUUAGUAUUUCUAUAUAAGAAAAAAAUAAUUUUAAAAUUUAAAUUUAUUAAAUAAANNNNNNNNNNNNNNNNNNNNNNNNNNNNNNNNNUUAAUUUUCUAUAUAAAAGUCAAUUAAAAUAAUAAAAUUGAUUUACUUUAAAUAUUUAGUUGCAAUUAAUUAAUAUAAUUUUUUAUUUUGUCAUGAUUUAUGCUGCACCGAUAAAAUUUUGAGAGUUGAAUAGAACUUUUUUCUAUUUUUUUAAAAAUAUUUUAACUUGUUAAUUAUUGUGAUUUAUAUUAUUUUUUACGUAAUUAUUAAAUAAUAUAUUUACUCCUCGUGUCCCAAUUUAUGUGGCUUCGAUACAAUUUUGAGAGUCAACUAAAAUUUUAUAUGUCUUUUAAAUAUUUUAAGUUGUUAAUUAUUAUGAUUUGUAGUAUUGUUUCUUUUAUCUCAAUUUAUGUGACAAUGCUAAAAUAAUGAGAGUCAAUAAAAUUUCUAUAUGUCUUUUAAAUAUUUUAAGUUAUUAAUUAUUGUGAUCUGUGGUAAUAAAUUAGCUUUGAAUAUGAUAGCCAAUUAAAUAAAUAAAAUUUUUUUACUUCUAAUAUGUAGUUAUAGCUAAUUAAUAGAAAUUAAAAGAAUAUAUUAAAUAUUUAAACCAUUAUUGUCACACCCCUUUUUUAACCAAAAAAAUUCAUUUUAUGUUUGAAAGGAUUUUUAUUAUUAGGAGACAAAAGAUGAACAUUUGUUUCGAAAAAACAUUAUUCACAUUUUUGUUCAGAGUCGCCACUUGACAUAAUUCGGAGUGCCAGGUCACCUUUGGAAAAUCCUUUUCAAAACGAUUUGACUCUUUAAUCUGGUUUGCGAACAAAGAUUCCAGCUAACGAAUUCUGUUGAUUGAGAGAAAGGUGUUAGGCACCCCUCGAUCCCGUGGUUUGACCACGGUCACUUGGUGGAGCAUAUCGGAUAAUUUGAAGCUACAAAAUGUAUAAACCACACAAAACACAUGAAACAAGCAAAUAAACAAAUCAAACAAAAUUCAAAACCAAAAUAAUGUACGGUCCGAAUUAUACAGUCCCAAGAAUAGAAAAUACGAAAAUAUAAAUUCUAUUCUAGACUAAUCAUAAACUAUGCUCCAAUGCUUACCCGAUGCCUCGGGACUUCAUCACGAACGCCUUCCGCCAACAUAAUACGUCGGGGCAUUCCCCGGUGAAUAAAUACAAUAUGUCUCAGGGCAUUCUCCGGCUAAAUGAAUACAUUUUCCAAAUACGAGAAAGACAAACCAUUUUACAAACAUUCCAAACACUUAUUUAAACAUUCAACACAUUCAAUCAACACACAACUCCUAAAUUUUGCCUACCCGAACCUAAACAUUUUGCUUAUCCAAUUCGACCUAUCAUGAUACUAUAGAAUUCAUAAACUUGAUUCCAAAUUUGGCAAAACAACAACGAACCAACAUUAAACCAAAUUUACCCUUUUUAUCGAUCUCGCAAUUCCACCCCAAAUUCUCUUCUCAACCAAUAAUUAACACAUGCUUCGAUUAUCAAAUCAAUUUUUCAAACUCAAACCAACAUCAAUGACACAAAACAAAGAUUCAAACAUAUCAAACAACAGAUCAUUCACAUUCACAAAAAUUAAAGGAAGAAGAGAUAGAAUUGGACCUCAAUGCCGCUUUCCAAAUCGAGGCAUUAUUCGAUUAAAUGGGGUGCAAUCCAAAUCCUAAACCUCGAGUCGAACCUAACAACGAUCAAUCCAUCCUCAAUACAUACCCUUCAUUGUUUUAACUAUUUUUCGACACCGUUCUCCAGCAAACUUUGCUGGAAUUGAACUAAAGUUGGUCUAAUAUGGUCAAAUUAGAGUCGGAGGCGCGGUUUCCAUCAUGUCAGAACUCCGGCGAGCUUCGACGGUAACAAAAAAUAGAGAAAAACUGACCGCCGUAACGUUUUCUGAUGGGAUCCGAUGAUGGAGUGGAUUUUUGGUUGUUUUUUUUAUGUUUCCUGUCGAUCUCCGAUAGUCACAGCCGUAGACGACGAUUGGGUAUUCUCCGAUUGGUGAUUCCGGCGAUAGUUUUGCCGAAAAACUGAGUCAAAAUCUAUUACCCCUUUUUUGAUCGAUUCUCUCUCCAUUGAUUCUCUCUCUCUCGAUUCUCUUUGCUGUUUUACUUUGUUUUCUUUACUGUUUCCAACCUAUAUCCCUCCGUUCAUCUUUCCCGAUCUCCAAUUCUACUGUAUUUCUCCCUUUUCGGUGAUGUGUGCGUAUACCAGUAUGUGGAUGUGUGCAAAUCAGUGAGGACGAGUGAUUAUGUGAGUUGUGUGUGUAGUGUGUAUGUAUAUGGUGAGAGAAUGUGAUCAUAAUGAUGAUGUGGGUCCCACCUUAUAUUGUUAUGGGGUAUUGUUGCUGUGAGUAAAAAAUAUGCUCCUCCCUAUAUGUCGUGUAUGAUGUGUACAUAUUCCUUUUGGUGAGGUGUCCUUUUUGUUUGAGUUUGUUAGGAAAAGAUAAAAUUACUUAGGAGUUGUUAUUAUUAUUUUUUUGUAUUUUUGUGGUGUAUAAUUACAUGGAUGAGGGUGUACAAUAAAGUGAGGUAAAAAUGAAUAAAAUUGGACUUGGGAGGGACAAAAUUAGGUGUCUACAACAUGCCCCCUUUGAAUGUACACAUGAAGUGUUUUCAAAGAAAGAAGUAGACAACGAGACAAAUAUUUAUCCCGACCAUUAUUCAAAAAGAAUGAAACAGAAGAAAAGAGGGAAACCAAUUUUUGACUUUGGACAUCAUACUCAUCCCUAGUUAUUAGGGAAUCAAGUCACAAGUAUCCCCAAGGACUAAAAGAAGAGGGACUAUACCAAUUUGGAGAUUCGACCGAGGUUCUGUCAAGGUUCCGAUCUGCGGCUCUGUCAUUACAUCAAAAAUAAAAAUUACAAUUUAAAACAUAAAUAAAAUUACAAAAGUCCUAUCUAUGCGGUUUCUUUUGAACUCUUGACUUGAGUUUCAUCACCCUAUUCUUCAGGCGGGCUCCUGACUUGCAAUUUCUUCAGCUUGUUGCCUGACUUUCAAUUUCUUCAUCUUGUUUUUUGACUUUUCAUUUAUUCGCCUUGUGCUUUGGGAGGGCUUCAAUGUUUCUUGAGUUAUCAAAACAAGGAAGUGCGUCUCCUUACAAAUGCCGCUCGAAUUACCCAAACAAGGAAGUGCGUCUCCUUACAGAUGUUGCUUGAAUUACCAAAACAAGGAAGAACAUCUCCUUACAAAUGCCGGUUGAAUUACCCAAACAAGGAAAUGUAUCUCCUUACAAAUGCCACUUGAAUUACCAAAAUAAGAAAGUGCGUCUCCUUGCCAAUGCCGCUUGAAUUACCCAAACAAAGAAGUGCGUCUCCUUCAAAUGCCGGAUGAAUUACCCAAACAAAAAAGCAAACAAGGAAGGGCGUCUCCUUACAAAUGUUGCUAGAAAUAUCCAAACAGGAAAGUAUGUCUCCUUACCAAUGCCUCUUGAAUUACCAAAACAAGGAAGUGCAUCUCCUCACCAAUGCCGCUCAAAUUACCAAAACAAAGAAGUGUGUCUCCUUAUCAGUGCUUCUUGAAUUACCCAAAUAAGAAAGUGCGUCUCCUUACAAAUGUUGCUUGAAUUGUCCAAAUAAGGAAGUGCGUCUCCUUACAAAUAUUGCUUGAAUUUCCCAAACAAGGAAGUGUGUCUCCUUACAAAUGUUACUUGAAUUGCCCAAACAAGGAAGUGCGUCUUCUUACAAAUAUGUCUUGAAUUACCAAACAAGAAAGUGCGUCUCUUUACAAAUAUUGCUUGAAUUGCCCAAACAAGGAAGUGUGUCUCCUUACCAAUGCCGCUUGAAUUACCAAACUAGGGAGGUUCGUCUCCUUACCAAUGCUUCUUGAAUUAUUAAAAUAAGGAAGUGUGUCUCAUUACCAAUGUUGCUUGAAUUACCCAAACAAGGAAGUGUGUCUCUUUACAAAUGUUGGUAGAAAUACCCAAACCAAGGAAGUGCGUCUCCUUACCAAUGCUGCUUGAAUUGCCAAACCAAAAAACUGUGUCUUCGAGGGAUAUAGGAUGAUGAAUUUUUUUACCACGAUUUGAUUAUCAAACUUGUGCAGCAACUUUGUUUACUGCAUUUGUAGAAGUGAGACAUUGAAGCCCUUGAUAUUUAUGAUCUGAAGUCCUUGAUUUGAAGGUAACAUGUUUCCUAUUUCAUCAAAGAAAAUUUGUGUGUUUAAAAACAUGGUGGCUGGUUUGUGGCUUUAGCUUUCGCAGCAAUCGCUCUUGCCCCUGUCACAUUUAAUCUUGCUUUCAACUAUUAGCAUAUGUCAUUGACUCGCUGCAUCAUUGAUUCGAACUCAGAUUAUUAAGAGUGACUCUGAAACAAACACGGUAUUUCUGAUUUGCCAUGCUUCGCAGAUAAACCCUUUGAACCUGGAUAUUUCCAUAAGUUUCCAGACUUGUCUGUUGACAAAACUUUUUGCAUGCCUUAUUUCGGCUCACAAUCAUGUCUCUUUCAUGUCCUGAACUUUUGUCUUGAUUUGUGCAAUUGAAGAAGCUGGUAACCAGUUUUACAAUCUUUUCUCACUUAUUUUGACACGGUCUUGACUCAAAGACAAGAAAAGAACAAAGAAUGACAAUUUUUUUUAUAUUUGGAUAACUGGCUCAAGAAAGAUAAAACAAAAAUAAAGAGAAUAAAGAAAAGACAACGAAUGUCCCUCUUUAAAACAAAGAAAUGAAAAAUUCAUCUAAAAAUGACAGUCAACUCUAAUGAAUAUGCCAUGCAUUUUGGAUUAAGCAGCUUGAUCUUUUCAUCCAAACUAUCUACAAAUUGUUGUUGAGUUAAUGGCCUCAAAACUGAGUUUCUUCCUUAGGUUAAUUGCAUUUAGACCUCAUUCGGCUAGUGGCGCCUUGAAGGCUUUUUGCCAACAAGCCUCUUCCUUUCUCUCAACUCACCAUUGCCUUUAUGUCCGUGAGGAUUUUUGACCAAUAAGACUCUCUUAUUUUCAUUCCUCUUAAUUCACAGUCGUCUUAUGGUGCCUGUGAGGAUUUUCACCAGUAAGACUCUCUCAUUUUUAUUUCUCUCAACUUACCAUCGCCUUACAGUGACCGUGAGGGUUUUCGCCAAUAAGACUCUCAUUUUUAUUUCUCUCCUGAUUCUUAUUGCUGAGGUAGACAAGUAGUUCCCAAAAUACGUUAUCACAUUCAUUGCAUGCUUAGUCUUAACAUUCUCAAAUAUUGAUCUGAAGGUCUUUCUUUGGUUGUCACUUGGCUUUUGGAUAGGGUUAGAAGAAAAGGAUGACAUGAGGCCCAAACGACACUUGAAGUGGGGUAAGACUUACCACUUUUGGAAUUGACUCAAACAAUGAGGAUUAAAUCAUGCCCCAAUUUCUUUUGACUGGGAAAUUCUAAAUUGUUUAUUUGGUUGGACCGAGCCCUUAGUAGGGCAGCCUACGUAUCUGACCCCCGAGAGAGGAGAAUCAGGUCAUGCUUAGUUCUAGCAACUUGUUUUGCUUGAUUCUGAUUUCUUUUUUCUUUUGAUUUUUUUUCUUUGUGAUUUUCCUGACUCUAAUUUCCUGACACUCUUUUCUUCACUUUUGGACAUAUUUUUUUUCUCAACACUUUUCUUUUGAGUUUUGCUGACUCUAUCUUGAUUUCAAAUGAGGUGUAUGAAAGAAAAUAAAACUAAGGCUCAAAUGGGGUAAACAAAGGAUGACAUAAUGUUUAGAUAGCAGAAUGAAAUGCCUUCGUCAUAUCAAUCUUUGAAAAUACAAGUACAUAACAUGAAAAUUGAAAGUUGGAGAUGAAGAUCAUGUGCGACAUAUUUUACAACAUUAAAUUUGACCGAGUCGGUGCGACGCUGCUUCUUCUGCGCUUUUCUAGCAUACAACUCCACCUUUGUUGUACAUUCCUUACAUUGAAUGACUCAUGAUUUUGUGGAGCUGAUUUUCUUUCUGUUCCUCUGGAUAUAGGAUCACGCAUUCACUGUUUGACCUAAUUGAGGCACGCCUUACAAUUGAUGACCAAGUUAUUCUUGUGAUUCUCAAAAUAAAUGGCGUUAAUUUUCAAAAAAUGCUUGAACUUGUCACUAAAUGUCUCAGCACUCUACCUAUUUUCUCAGAUGCUCUCUUUUUCUAACUUUAAACCUCUGAUUCAAUGUUCAUGCUUAAACUAGAUUUUAAGAUCUGGCAGAAAAUUCCAUUAGCAUGUCAUAUCACUAGAGUCAACAUAAAAUGUACUGUGGAAAGAAAACAAAAAGAAAUAUAUUUAAAACACAAAGGAAAAAGGAAUACUCUAUUUAAAUAAAAUGAAAGAUAGAAGGGUUUGAACAUAACGACAAAUGGACAAAACAAGAUAGAUCCCAAACUACAUCCCUGAAAUAAUUUGGAUUACAGAAAACAAAACAAAACAAACUACCAGACCUCUUUCUAAGAGGGAGAGGGGUGACUUCUCAAUUGCUCAGCCUGACAUCUUAGCCAUUGGUUUGGAUAUCAGCAUGACUAGAGCUUUCCGCACUGUCAAUGGUCUGUACCAUAUUUGAGUUAUAUUGAAUCAUCUUUUCUAUUUCUCUUUUUAAAGAACGACAAUCUUCAAUACUGUGACCCUGAACAUCAUAAUGAUAUGCACAUCGUACAUUAGCAUCAAAACUUCUUGAAUGCGGGCCAGAAGUAUACCCAUGGAGAGGAUUGAUCAUGUCCCAUUGUAUCAAUCUCUGGAAUAAAUUGGCGUACGAAUCUCCAAUUGGUGUGAAGCUAUCUCUUGACUUCUACCUAAUUUCAUUGUUUAGCUUGGAUAAAAAAUCGGACCUACAAGGUCUUUAGUUAGAUUGUGGAGUUUGAGAAUGACUCUGAAGAGUUGGUGCAUGCCAUUAUGGGUAAGAAGGGAAUUGACCAUAGGGUUGUGCAUUGUAUAUUAGAUAUGUAGGUGGGGGAAUACAGUAUAAUGGAUUUUGGGAAAGAUUAUAUGGAGCUUGGACAUAAGCUUGGGUUUGAGCCUGUGGGUAACGAUGGUAUGAUACUCUUACCCAUGCCUGUUGUCCAACUACAAUGGCAGAUGCAUCUUCCUCAUACUUCUUCCCUCCGACACUUCCCAAACAUUUUUGAAUUGCUUGAGUCGUCGCUUUCAAUAUUGCAAAACUCACAAUGCGGCUGGUCUUAAUUCCAUCCUCUAUCAUUUCCUCCAUUUUGAAGACCUCAAUAAAUGACUUGCCUAAUGUAGGCAACAAGUGUUGAGAAUAUGUUUCAUCUUGCACUUGAAUAAAUACCUCCAUCAUCUUACUUUCUUUCAUUGACGGUUCACCCUAGCGGCUUGUUCACGCCAUCUAAUCGCAUACUCUCUGAAAGUCUCAAUACUCUUUUUAUGUAUGUUAGUUAGGGAUUUCUCAUCAGGUAUCAACUCCACAUUAUAUUGGAAUUGUUGCACAAAUUCAUUAGCUAGGUCAUCCCAACUAAUCCACUUAUCAAUGUCUUGGUCAACAAACCAUUCCUAAGCUAGGCCUGAAAGACUCACCAAAAUAUGCCAUGAGUAAUUAUUUCUUCCCCCCAGCACCCCUUAGUUGGUUGCAAUAACGUCUCAAAUGUGCUAUAGGAUCGCCAUGUCCAUCAUACUUCUCAAACUUCAGCAUUUUAAAGCCAAAAGAAAGAUGAAUCCCUGAAAACAUGCACAGAUCUUUAUAUGAGACACUUUUGUACCCCUUCAAGUCCCUGGAGGUCUUUCAUAGCCAGUUUCACACUUUUUAAUUUUCUGGUCAUUUUCACUUGUUCUUCUGUUAUAACUGGCUUCUCAAUGUAAAGAGGAAAUUCAGGCGGGUGAAUAUAGCCAUAAGGAUUUGUCGACUUAAAUGUGGGCUCAAUAGCAUGAUGUUGAUUAGCAAAAAUAUUCAAUACAAGCUCUCGCGCAGAGUGGGGAGGCACAACUUGUGGAUAAACCUCAAAAGUAAGAGCUUCAGGUGGGGGUGGUGCUGCAACAACAUGAACAACGAGUGGAGCCGAGCAUGUGGUAGCUUUGUGUUGAGGAGUGAGGAAAUGAGUAUUGGAAGUGUUUGGAUAGUCUUGCCCCAGAGCAGGUUCUAAUGCAUGUUGUGGUGUGUCAAUAAAAAUAGGAAACUGUGUAUGUGAUACUGGAGGCAAGCUAAAAAGAUAUUUCAGAUUAUUAACGGAAAAUGGAGGAAGUGGCAACCCUUUAUCCCAAGCUCGAUGCAUUUCUAUCAUUUUGUUGCCUUAAUUUUCGAAUCUCUUCAUUAGCUCCUAAAUUCUCAUAGCCCAAACUCCCUAUCUGAUCAGUGACAACAAACUAGAUAUCUUUGUUGGUCAUAACUUUCUCUGUGACUUGGUGCAAUAUGGAGGACCAACCAAAAUUCCACAAACCAACCACCUCAAACUAACUGAACAAGAGAUAGCAAAUGCGUUAGAAUUCAAAACUUUUUUUUUCAAAACCUUUUUUUCUUUUUGAAAAGGUCACCGAAUCCAAGAGGGGCACCUACAUAUCUCACUCCCGAGAGAGGAGAAUAAGGUGUGUGUAGUUCGUAAAGUCUUGCCAAAAUGGCCAAUUAAUUCUUUUUCCUUUCUUUUUUUCUUUUUCUUAAAACUUCAAAAAGAAAAGGAAAUAACAAAUGGUCAAAAGAAUUGACGAUUUUUUUUUUGUAUUUGUCAAGUUUAAACUCCCUAUACAAAAUGAAACCUAUGAUUACCAAAGAAAAAUCUUUUUGGAUUUUCGAUUUUGAAUUUCAUAUGAACAUGAAACUUGAACCUAUUAAAAGAAAAAUCUUUUUUGUAAUUUUAUUUUAAAGAUGUAUAUGAAACACCUACUCUAAUAAAGAGUGAAGAAAUUCUUUUUUUUUUCAAAUAAGAUCCCCGAACCCACAAUAGGCUGCCUACGUAUGUAACUCCUGAAAGAGGAGAAUCAAGGGUGCGUAGUUAGUCCAUGUAGAUUUUAAUUUUAAGGUUCGAAAGGGUUUUUAUUAUCAAAGUGACAAAAGAUGAAAAUUUGUUUUGAAAAGGAUUAUUUAUAUUCAAAACUCAGAAUCGCCACUUGGAAUGAAUCGGGUGUGCCAAGUCACCUUUGAAAAUCCUUUUUCAAAAUGGUUCGACUCUAAAACUGAUCCGCAAACAGAGAUUCCAGCUAAGGAAUUCUGUUGAUCGAGUGGAAGGUGUUAAGUACCCCUUGAUCCCUCGGUUCGACCACGGUCGCUCGGUAAAACAUAUCGGCUAAUUUGACACUAUGAAUGUAUAAACCACACAAAAACACAAAACUAAUCAAUCAAACUAACAAAACAAAUCCAAAAUUAUAGUGUCCAGUACAAUUAUACAAUCCAAAAUAGAAAAAUGCAAAAAACAUAAACCUACUCUAUUCUAGGCUAAUUCUAAACUAUGCUCCAUUGCUUUCUCCACUCGACGUUCUGGGCCUUCGUCAUGGACGUCCUCCGAGUACAAGAAGAAAGAAAGCUCUGUGUGUGUAAUUUUUUAUUUCUUCCUCUCCCCUUUGAAUUUUUUUAUGUAUAUUUAAUUGGCGUAUGUGGUGAUUAUAUGGUGAGGUGUGUCCUCUAUCCAAAGGUCUCGAUACUCUUUUUCUUCAUGUUAGUUGGGGAUUUCUCAUCAGGAAUCAACUCCACAUUGUAUUGGAAUUGUUGCACAAAUUCAUUAGUUAGGUCAUCCCAACUAAUCCACUUGUCAAUGUCUUGGUCAACAAACCAUUCCGAAGCUAGGCCUGAAAGACUCUCACCGAAAUAUGCCAUGAGUAAUUCUUUCUUCCCCCCAGCACCCCUUAGUUGAUUGCAAUAAUGUCUCAAAUGUGCUAUAGGAUCUCCAUGUCCAUCAUACUUCUCAAACUUUGGCAUUUUAAAGCCAAAAGGAAGAUGAACCCCUGGAAACAUGCACAAAUCUUUAUAUGAGACACUUUUGUACCCCUCCAAGUCCCUGGAGGUCUUUCAUAGCCAGUUCCACACUUUUUAUUUUUUUGGUCAUUUCCUCUUAUUCUUCUAUUAUAACAGGCUUCUCAAUGUUAAGAGGAAAUUCAGGCGGGUGAAUAUAGCCAUAAGGAUUAGUCGACUUAAAUGUGGGCUCAAUAGCAUGUUGUUGGUUAGCAAAAAAAUCCAAUACAGGCUCUCUCACAGAGUAGGGAGGCACAACUUGUGGAUAAACCUCAAAAGUAGGAGCUUUAGGUGGGGGUGGUGCUGCAAAAACAUGAACAAUGAGUGGAGCCGAGCAUGUGGUAGUAUUGUGUUGAGGAGUGAAGAAAUGAAUAUUAGAAGUGUUUCGAUAGUGUUGCCCCAGAGCAGGUUCUGAUGCAUGUUGUGGUGUGUCAAUAAAAAUAGGAAACUGUGUAUGUGACACUGGAGGCAAGCUAGAAAAAUAUUCCAGAUUAUCAGCGGGAAAUGGAGGAGGUGGCAACCCAUUAACACAAGCUCGAUGCAUUUCUAUCAUUUGUUGCCUUAAUUUUCGAAUCUCUUCAUUAGCUCCUAAAUUCACAUUGCCUGAACUCCUUAUCUGAUCAGUGACAACAAACUCGAUAUCUUUGUUGGCCAUAACUUUCUCUGUGACUUGGUGUAAUAUGGAGGACCAGUCAAAAUUCCACAAACCAACCACCUUAAACUAACUAUACAAGAGAUAGCAAAUGCGUUAGAAUUCAAAACUUCUUUUUUCAAAACCUUUUUUUCUUUUUGAAAAGGUCACCGAAUCCAAGAGGGGCGCCUACGUAUCUCACUCUUCAGAGAGGAGAAUCAGGUGUGCGUAGUUCGUAAAGUCUUGCCAAAAUGGCCAAUUAAUUCUUUUUCCUUUCUUUUUUCCUUUUUCUUGAAACUUUAAAAAGAAAAGGAAAUAAUAAAUGGUCAAAAAAAUUGACGAUUUUGUUUUUCGCAUUUUUCAAGUUUAAACUCCCUAUACAAAAUGAAACCUAUGAUUACCAAAGAAAAAUCUUUUUGAAUUUUUGAUUUUGAAUUUCAUAUGAACAUGAAACUUGAACCUAUUAAAGGAAAAAUCUUUUUUUGUAGUUUUCUUUUAAAGAUGUAUAUGAAACACCUACUCUAAUAAAGAGUGAAGAAAUUUUUUUUUUAAAAUAAGAUUCCUGAACUCACAAUAGGCUGCUUACGUAUCUCACUCCCGAGAGAGGAGAAUCAAGGGUGCGUAGUUAGUCCAUGUCACACCCCUAUUUUAACCAAAAAUUUUCAAAUUUAAGGUUCGAAAGGGUUUUUAUUAUCAAAGUGACAAAAGAUGAAAAUUUAUUUUGAAAAGGAUUAUUUAAAUUCAAAACUCAGAGUCGCCACUUGGAAUGAAUCAGGUGUGCCAAGUCACCUUGGGAAAUCCUUUUUCAAAAUAGUUUGAUUCUAAAACUGAUCCACGAACAGAGAUUCCAGCUAAGGAAUUCUGUUGAUUGAGUGGAAGGUGUUAGGCACCCCUCAAUCCUGUGGUUCGACCACGGUCGCUCGGUGGAAUAUCUCGGCUAAUUUGACGCUAUGAAUGUAUAAACCACACAAAAACACACAACUAAUCAAUCAAACAAACAAAACAAAUCCAAAAUUAUAGUGUCCAGUCCAAUUAUACAAUCCAAAAUAGAAAAAUGCAGAAAACAUAAACCUACUCUAUUCUAGGCUAAUUCUAAACUAUGCUCCAUUGCUUUCUCUACCCGACGUUCUGGGGCUUCGUCAUGGAUGUCCUCCGAGUAUAAAAUACUUUGGUGCAUUCCCCGGUGAAGAAGUGCAUAAGAUCUCGGGGCAUUCCCCAAUAAAAUGAAUACAGUUUCUCAAUUUUGUGCGUUAAAAUAAAAAGAGACAUUCAAAAAAUAUUCGCACAUUCAACAAAUCACCAUCUUCCAUUUUCUGUAAUUUGCCUAUCCAAACGUUGUAUUUGCCUACCCAUUUAACGAUCUAAAAUACGAUACUAUCAAUUUUAACAAUAUCCAACAAUGAAUGAAAACUAAUCAACAUCCACCUUAUUCGAUUCACAACUCCUUCCCCCAAAUUCCAUUCUCAACAUGAUUAAACCAAUUCAAUACGAAAUCAAGCAGUCAAAGCCACCACCGUGACAAUCAAAAUUUCUUAAAGACACAAUUAAAACAUAUCAACGAAUCACACUAUUACUCACGUAAAAUUGACAAAAUUAUAAAGAAAGGGAUAAAAAUUUGACCUCAAAUAUUGCCUCAGUCCACCAAAUUUCUUUAGCAAUUUCACGAAUACAUAGAAAGAGCACCGACCGGAACCGCGCAAACCUUGAACCCACGACAACCUCAAAUCGAGACCAAUUCGAUAAUGCUAAAAUAGAACAGUGACUUUGGGGGUUUUGUUCAAUGAUUAAAUGAGAUGUCGACCUACCAAAUUUACCAAAAUUAAUGCGAUGGUGGUGAACUGCUUCAGUAGAACAGUAACGACGAUGGUGACGGGUUACUUUGGUGAUUGUUUUUCAUACCCCACAACUAUUUUCUCUCCAACCCUCACUUCCGACCAAGCUCCGAUCAACCCCUACCCGUUGUCUUCUUCGAUUUGCAAGUGGGUGUCGAUUGUUUCCAGGGAGCUGUGUGUAUUUCGGUAAGGGAGGCAUUUUUGUGUGUUUGUUUUCUAUGAGUUUUUCAUGGGAGCUGUGAGUGUAUCGAAUGGAUAAAAAAGGAAAAAUCCGACCCCCUCGGUCAAGAAGAAAGGAAUCUCUGUGUAUGUAAUUUUUUAUUUCUUCCUCUCCCCUCUGAAUUUUUUGUGUAUAUUUAAUUAGCGUAUGUGGUGAUUAUAUGGUGAGGUGCGUCCUCUGUCCAAAAGGAAGAAUCAAGAUAAUUGUGAGAGUCAUGUCUGUAUUCUAUUGUUCUGUGAGUAUGGAAUCACGUGGGCCCCGUUUCUUUUUAUUUUUGUUAUUUUUUUUAUGAAUUUGUUUCAAAUUAAAGAAAACAUAUAGGGUAGGGGAAUAAGGGUGUGAGGUGGAGUAGGGUGGUGAGAGUAGGGGUAUGGGAUAGUGAGGUGGAAAAAGUUGUUUGAAUUUUGUUAUUUUUUGUUUUUUUGUGAAAGGAUUAUCAUAGAUGGUGUGUGAUAAGAUGAGCCAAAAAUGAAUAAAAUUGGACUUCAGGAGGGACAAAAUUAGGUGUCUACAACAUGCCCCCUUUGAAUGUAAACACGAAGUGUUUUCAGAUAAAGAAGUAGACAAUGAGACAGAAUUUUGUCCCGACCAUUAUUCAAAAAGAAUGAAACAGAAGGAAGAAGGGAGAUCAAGUAUUGAUUUAGGACAUCCCACCUACCCAAGUUAUAAAGAAAUCAAUUGACACGUAUCUUAAAGGACUGAAACAAGAUGGACUAUACCGAGUUGGAGAGUCGAGUGAGGUCCCGUCGAGGUUCUGGUCUGUGGCUCUGUUAUUACAUUAAAAAAAGAAAAUUAUAAGUUAAAACAUAAAUAAAAUUAUAAAAAUCCUAUCUGUGCAGCCUCUUUUGAAAUCUUGACUUGAGUUUCAUCACCAUAUUCUUCAGGAAGGCUCUUGACUUGCAAUUUCUUCAACUUGUUGUUUGGAUUUCAAUUUCUUCAACUUGUUGUUUGACAUUCAACUUCUUUACCUUGUUGUUUGACUUUCAACUUCUUAACCUUGUUGCUUGACUUUCAAUCUCUCAACCUGGUUACUUGACUUUCAAUUUCAUCAUUCUAUUCUUCAGGCGAGCUCCUAACUUGCCAUUUCAUCACCCUGUUCUUCAAGCGGGUUCUUGACUUUCAAUUUCAUCACCCUGUUCUUCAGACGGAUUCCUGACUUUGAAUUUUCAUCACCCUGUUCUUCAGGCGGGCUCCUGACUUGAUAUUUCAUCACUUUGUUCUUCAGGCGGGCUCCUGACUUACAAUUUUAUCACCCUAUUCUUCAGGCGAGCUCCUGAAACCAAAACCAAAUCUAAAAUGAAAAUUAUCCCAAACGAAGAUUAUGAUAAAGAAAGAUUUCAUUUUUUGAAAGUAUGGUCCCAUUUUCCAAGAGGGUCCUGAAUAGAAAGUAAAAUUCCAUUUUUCAAGAGGGUCCUGAAUAUAAAGUAAAUUCCAUUAUUUAGGAGGGUCCUAAAAUGAAAGUAAAAUCCCAUUUUCCAGGAGGGUCCUGAACAGAAAGUAAAAUCCCAUUCUUCAGGAGGGUCCUGAACAGAAAGUAAAAUCCCAUUCUCCAGGAGGGUCCUGAACAGAAAGUAAAUUCUCAUUUUUUCAGGAGGGUCCUGAGUAGAAAGUAAAAUCUAAUUUUCUAGAAGGGUCUUGAACAGAAAAAAAUCUCAUUUUCCAGGAGGGUUCUGAACAAAAAAUAAAAUCCCAAUUUCCAGGAGGGUCCUGAACAGAAAGUAAAAUCCCAUUUUUCAGGGGGGUCCUGAACAGAAAGUAAAGUCCCAUUUUCCAGGAGGGUCCUGAACAAAAAGUAAAAUCCUAUUUUUCAGGAGGGUCCUGAGCAUAAAGUAAAUUCCCAUUUUUCAGGAGGGUCCUGAGCUAAAUUUCUAUUGUUCAGGAGGGUCCUGAACAGAAAGUAAAAUUCUAUUUUUUAGGAGGGUCCUGAACAGAAAGUAAAAUCCCAUUUUUUAGGAGGGUCUUGAACAGAAAGUAAAAUCUCAUUUUCCAGGAGGGUCCUGAGCAGAAAGUAAAUUUCUAUUUUUCAGGAGGGUCCUGAAAAAAAAGUAAAAUUCUAUUUUUUAGGAGGGUCCUGAACAGAAAGUAAAAUCCCAUUUUUCAAGAAGUUCCUGAACAAAAAGUAAAAUCUCAUUUUUCAGGAGGGUCCUAAACAGAAAGUAAAAUCUCAUUUUCCAGGAGGGUCCUGAACAGAAAGUAAAGUCCCAUUUUCCAGGAAGGUCCUGAACAUAAAGUAAAUUUCAUUUUCCAGGAGGGUCCUGAACAGAAAGUAAAGUCCCAUUUUCCAGGAGGGUCCUGAGCAGAAAGUAAAUUCUCGUUUUUUAGGAGGGUCCUGAACAGAAAGUAAAAUCCCAUUUUUUAGGAGGGUCCUGAACAUAAAGUAAAGUCCCAUUUUUCAGGAGGGUCCUGAACAGAAAGUAAAAUUCUAUUUUUCAAGAGGCACCUAGACAUAAGGUAAAAUUCCAUUUUUCAGGAGGGUCCCGAACAAAAACAAAGGUCCCAUUUUCCAGGAGGGUCCUGAACAUAAAGUAAAAUCCCAUUUUUUUCAGGAGGGUCCUGAAUAGAAAGUAAAGUCCCAUUUUUCAGGAGGGUCCUGAACAUAAAGUAAAAUUCCACGGAUGUGCAUUUCCAAUGGUAGCUGAAUUAAGUGAAGCGAAUUUCCCCUUUUUCAACAAAGAAAAUUUGUCAGUUAAAAACUUAGUGGUGGCUUGCGGCCUUUGGCUGUCUCGACACCUGCUCCAGUGUUCAUUCCCUCCAUUUUGUUUCAGAUUGCUGGCACUUGCCCCUGCUUUGUCGUGUCAUUGACCCAAACUCAAAUUAUUAAGAGUGAUUCCAAAAUAAACACUGUAACUCUUCUUUGUCAUGCUUCUCACAUAAACCCUUUAAACCUUGGUAUUGUCAUGAGUUUCCCAGCUUGUCUGUUGACAAAACAUUCUGCAUGCCUUAUUCAGCUCACAAUCAUGUCUCUUUCAUAUGCUGACUUUGUCUUGCUUUGUGCAAUUGAAGAAGCUGGUAGCCAGUUUUGAAAUCUUUUCUCACUUAUUUUGAUAUGAACUUGACUCAAAGACAAGAGAAAAAUGACAAUGACUUUUAUUUAGACCACUGACUCAAGAAAACAAAGUAAAAAUAAAGAGAAGAAAGAAAAUAUAAUGAAUGUCCCUGUUUGAAACAAAGAAAUGAAAAAUUGAUCUAGAAACGACAGUCAACUCUAAUGAUUAUGCCAUGCGUAUGGGAUUAAACUGCCUGAUCUUUCCAUCCAAAACUUUCUACUAAUUGUUGUUGAGUUAAUGACCCUAAAAGUGAGUUGUUUUCUUGGUCCAAUUGUAUUCGGAGACCUCAUUCAGCUAGUGGUGCCUUGAAGGGUUUUCAGCAACAAACCUCUCUCAUUUCCUUUUAUCACCUGACCAUUGCCUUAUAGCAUCCGUGAGGGUUCUUUACCAAUAAGAUUCCCUUAUUUUCAUUUCUUUCAACUCACAGUCGUCUCACAGUGCCCGUAAAGGUUUUCACCGAUAAGACUCUCUCAUUUUUAUCUCUCUUAACUUACCAUCAUCUUACGGUGCCCGUGAGAGUUUUCACCAAUAAGACUCUCUCAUUUUUAUUUCUCUCUUAAUUCCUUAUGCCAAGGAAGAUAAAUAGUAUUCAAAAUGUGUCAUCACAUCCAUUGCAUGCUUAGCCCUAACACUCUCAAAGAUUGAUUUGAAGGUCUUUCUUUGGUUGUAACUUGGCUUUUGGAUAGUGAUAGAAAGAAAGGAUGGCAUGGGGCCUAAACGACACCUGAAGUGGGGUAUGACUUACAACUUUUGGAAUCGACUCAAACAAUGAGGAUUAACUCAUGCCCCAGUUUCUUUUAACUGGAUAAUUCUAAACUAUUUAUUUGGUUGGACCGAGCUCAGAGUAGGGAAGCAUACGUAUCUUACCCCUGAGAGAGGAGAAUCAGGUCACGUGUAGUUCUGGCAGCUUGUUCUUUUUCUUGAUUCUAUUUCUUUUUUUUUUAUUUUGUUGACUCUUUUCUCUUUGGGAUUUUUCUGACUUUAUUUUUCUUGACACUCUUUUUUUUUACAUGCUUUUCUCUCUUUUGUUUUUUGAAACUUUUUGAGUCUAUUAUUUUGCUUGACACUUUCUUUUGAGCUUUGCUGACUCUAUCUUGAUUCCAAAAGAGGUGUAUGAAAGAAAAUAAACCUAUAGGUCGAAUGGGGUAAACAGGAUGACACAAUGUUUGGAUAGCUGAAUGAACUGCCUUCGUAAUGUCAAUCCUUGAAAAUGCAAGCGGCAUAUCAUGCAAUAUGAAAGUGAAAGAUUAAGAUCAUUUGACACUUUAAUAUCACUAUCUUUAAUUGAGUAUGUGUGCUACUUCUUCCUAUACACUUUUCAAACAUACAACUCCACCUUUGUUGUACAUCCCUCAUAUUGAAUGACUCAUGCUUUCGUGGAGUCGAUUUUCUUUCUAUUCCUCUUGCUAGGAUCAUGCAGACACUGUUUGACCUAAUCGAGAUAUGUCUUUCAAUUGAUGACCAAGUUAUUCUUGUGAUUCUCAAAACAAUUGCCUUAAUUUUCAAAGAAGGCUUUAACUUGUCACCAAAUAUCUCAGCACUCUACCUAUUUUUUCAGAUAUUUCUUCUAACUUUAGCCCUCUGAUUCCAUAUUUCAUGGUUUGAUUGGAUUUUAAAAUGUGGCUAAAAUUUUCACUAGCGUGUCAUAUCACUAGAGUCAACAUAAAAUGUACUAUGUAAAGAAAAUGAACAAACAACACAUAUUUAAAACACAAAGCAAAAUGGGACACUUCAUUUAAUUGAAACAUAAGAUAGAAGGGUUUGAACAUAAAUGACAAAAGGACAAGAUAGAUUCUGAACUACAACCCUGAAAUAGUUCAAAAAAUAGAAAAUAAAACAAAAACAAGCUACCAGACCUCUUCUUAGUAAGGAGAGGUGUGACUUCUCAAUUGCUGAGCCUGACAUCUUAGCCACUGGUUUACAUAUCAGCAUGACUAGAGUUUCCCUCACUGUCAAAUGUUUUGCACCAUAAUUGAUCCAUUUAGAAUCAUCUUUUCCAUUUCUCAUUUCAAAUAUCGACAAUCUUCAAUACUAUGACCCUGAGCAUCAGAAUGAUAUGCACAUCGUACAUUAGGAUCGAAAUUUCUUAAACACCGAUUAAGAGUAUAUCCAAGGAGAGGAGUGAUCAUGCCCCAUUGUACCAAUCUCUAAAAUAAAUUGGCAUACGACUCUCCAAUUGGUGUAAAGCUAUCUCUCGACUUCUGCCUCAUUUCAUCAUUUGGCUUGGAUCGAAAAUCAGGCUUAGAAGGGUUUUGGUAUAUUUGUGGAGUUAGAGAAUGACUCUAGGAGUUGGUUUGUUCCACUGUGGGUAAGAUAGGGGUUGAAUAUGUGGUUGUGCAUUAUAUACUGGAUAUGGAGGGGGAGCAGUAGAGUAUAAUGGAUUUUGGGAGUGAUUAUGUGAAACUUGGGCAUGAACUUGGGUUUGUGCCUGAGAGUGACGACAACGUAGUUUUCUUGAUCUUUCCUGCUGUCCAACUACAAUAGUAGAUGCAUCUUCCUCAUUUUUUUUCUCCCUGAAACUUCCUAAACCCUUUUGAAUUGCUUGAGUAGUCGCUUUUAAUGUUGCAAAACUCACAAUGCGACCAGUCUUAAUUCCCCCUUCUAUCAUCUCCCCUAUUUUAAGAACCUCAAUAAAUGACUUGCCUAAUGCAGGUAACAAGUUUUGAUAAUAUGUUUCAUCUUGCGCUUGAAUAAACACCUCCACUAUUUUGCUUUCCUUCAUUGACAAUUUUACUCUAGCACCUUGUUCGUGCCAUCUGAUCGCAUACUCCCUAAAACUCUCAGUAUUCUUCUUUUUAUACAAGUUAGGGAUUUUUCGUCAGGGAUCAACUCCACAUUGUAUUGAAAUUGUUGCAAAAAUUCGUUAGCUAGGUCAUCCCAACUAAUCCAUUUGUCAAUGUAUUGGUCAAAAAACCAUUCCAAAGCUAGCCCUAAAAGACUCUCCCCGAAAUAAGCCAUGAGUAGUUCUUCCUUCCUUCCAGCCCCUCUUAAUUGGUUACAAUAGUGCCUCAAAUAUGCCACUGGGUCCCCAUGUCUGUCAUAUUUCUCAAACUUUGGCAUUUUUAAGCCAGGAGGAAGGUUGACACCUGGAAACAUGCAUAAGUCCUUAUAUGAGACACUUUUGUAACCCCCAAGUCCUUGUAAGUUCUUCAUAGCCAGUUCCAAACUUCUAAAUUUUCUGGUUAUUUCCUUUUCUUCUUCUGUCAUAACAGGCUUCUCAGUAUUAGGAGGAAAUUCAGGCGGGUGGGUGUCACCGUAAAGACCAGUCAACUUGAAUGUAGGCUCGGAAGUGUAAUGCUGAUCACCAAUAUUAUCCAAUGCAGGCUCUCUUCUAAAGUAAGAAGACACAACUUGUGGAUGAACAUCAAAAAUUGGAGCUUAAAGUGGGGGUGGCACCGCAAAAGCAUGAACAGCAGGUGGAGCCGAGUAUGUGGUAGUCUUGGAUUAGGGAGUGAGGAAAUGAACAUUAGAAGUGGUUGUUGUAUAUUGUUGCCCCGGAGUCGAUCCUGAUGCAUGUUGUGGCAUUUCAACAAAAAUAGGAAAUUGUGCAUGUGACACGGGAGGCAAGCUAGAAAGAUAUUCCAGAUUAUCAGUGGGAACUGGAGGAGGCGGCAACCCAUUAGCCCAAGCUCGAUGCAUUUCUAUCAUUUGUUGCCUUAAUUUUUGAAUCUCUUCAUUAGCUCCUAAAUUCUCAUUUUUCGAACUCCUUGUCUGAUUAGUGACAACAAACUCGGUAUCCUUGUUGGCCAUAACUUUCUCUGUGACUUGGUGCAAUAUAGAGGACAGCCAAAAUGCCACAAACCAACCACCUUAAACUAACUGAACAAGCGAUAGCAAAUGCGUUAGAGUUCAUGACUUUCUGGAAAUAUAUUUUUUUUCUUUUUGAAAAGGUCACUGAACCCAAGAAGGGCGCCUACGAAUCUCACCCCCGAGAGAGGAGAAUUAGGUGUGCCUAGUUCGUGAAGUCUUGCCAAAAUGGCCAAAUUAAACUCUUUUUCUAUUCCUUGAAACUUUGAGAAUAAAAGAAAAUAACAAUUUGUCAAAAGAAAAUCUUUUUGAAUUCUUCAGCUUUAACAUCCCUAUACAAAAUGAAAUCUAUGAUUAAACCAAAUUCCAUUCUCAACAUGAUUAAACCAAUUCAAUACGAAAUCAAACAUUCAAAGCCACCACCACAACAAUCAAAAUUGCUUAAACACACAAUCAAAACAUAUCAACGAAUCACACCAUUACUCACGUAAAAUUGACAAAAUUAUAAAGAUAGGGAUAAAAAUUUGACCUCAAAUAUUGCUUCAGUCCACCAAAUUUCUUUAGCAAUUUCACGAAUACAUAGAAGGAGCAGGGACCAGAACCGUGCAAACCUCGAACCCACAACAACCUCAACUCAAGACCAAUUCGAUAGUGCUAAAACAGAAUAGUGACUUUGGGGGUUUGGUUCAAUGAUGAAAUGAGAUGUCGACCUAUCGAAUUUAUCAAAAUUAACGCGAUGGUGGUGAACUGCUUCAUUGGAACAGUAACGACGAUGGUGGCGGGCUACUUCGGUGAUUUUUUUUCAUACCCCACAACUAUUUUUGCUCCAACCCUCACUUCCGACCAAGCUCUGAUCAACCCCUACCCGUUGUCUUCUUCGAUUUGCGAGUGGGUGUCGAUUGUUUCCGGUGAGCUGUGUGUAUUCCGGUGAGGGAGGCAUUUUUGUGUGUUUGUUUGCUAUGAGUUUUCCAUGGGAGCUGUGAGUGUAUUGAAUGGAGAAGAAAGGAAAAAUCUGACCCCCUUGGUCAAGAAGAAGGGAAGCUCUAUGUGUGUAAUUUUUUAUUUCUUCCUCUCCCCUCUGAAUUUUUAAUGUAUAUUUAAUUGGCGUAUGUGCUGAUUAUAUGGUGAGGUGGUCCUCUGUCCAAAAGGAAGAAUCGAGAUGAUUGUGAGAUUCAUAUGUGUAUUCUGUUGUUCUGUGAGUAUGGAAUCACGUGGGCCUUCUCCCUUUUCAUUUUUUUUUUGUGAAUUGGUUUUCAAUUAAAGAAAACGUAUGGGAUAGGGGAAUGAGGGUGUGAGGUGGGGUAGGGUGGUGAGAUUAGGGGUAUGGGAUAGUGAGGUGGAAAAAGCUAUUGGAAGUUUGUUAUUUUUUAUUUUUUUGUGAAGGGAUUAUCAAACGGAUGAAGGUGCGUGAUAAGGUGAGCCAAAAUUGGAUAAAAUUGAACUUCAGGAGGGACAAAAUUAGGUGUCUACAGUCCAGAUUGGACAAUUAAGGAUUAAAUGACAAACUAAACCCUGAAUUGAGAGACACAACUAAAGAAAGAUGAUGAAAAUAAAAUCAUUUUUGGGUUUUUAAUUAGAAACUAACACCAACAACUAUGAAAGAAAAAAUCUUUUUGAUAUUUUCGUUAUAUAAAAAUGUACAAAGCUCCUAUUGAAAGGGGAAAAAAUUUUGGAGUUUUCGAAUUGUGAAUGCUUACUAAAUAAAUAAAAGGAAAUUUUUUUUAACGUUUUUCAUUUUUUGGGAAAUGAGUGAAAAAAGUAAAAAAAUAAAUUUUUUUUUUGAAUUUUUGAAUUGUGAAACAAAAGCCAUAAAGAACCCUAAAAACUACCAAAUCUCUUCUUUUUCACUCUUUUUUUCUUCCUUUUUCAACAAUUUCCUUCCUACACACUUUGCCUCUAACUCAUGCUUUUGCCCAAAUUAGUCUGUCAAAUGACCUUGUUACUCUCAAAGAUGCAACAUUUAGCACGCAGGGAUGCUUUAGAGGUGAGUUUCCUACAAAGGACCAAGUGGGACCUGCUAGGUCUUCAAUAUGAUGCACAUAAGCAUGACCUAAAGGUUGACCUACAUUGGGGUUCACUAAUAAGGCUGUUCGGGGGAGCGUAUGGUCGAUAGUGGCUGAUUUGCUUUCCACCUACUCCAUAACACCGAUGGCUCCCCCCCCCCCCAAAAAAAGGGGGCUCUAACAAGGGGGCGGGUACAAANNNNNNNNNNNNNNNNNNNNNNNNNNNNNNNNNNNNNNNNNNNNNNNNNNNNNNNNNNNNNNNNNNNNNNNNNNNNNNNNNNNNNNNNNNNNNNNNNNNNNNNNNNNNNNNNNNNNNNNNAAAAUAAGGGUGACUCAACUAGAGGUCGUGUACAACAUGUGUACUGCAGACUUGUUGCAGAAAGAAUGACUCAGGUUAUGCACAGUAUGUCAGAUAUAAAGCGGUAACACAUAAGAUAAAAAUUGUAAACAAAGAGCACGUAGGCACUCAACAGUGAUAAUAUAAUAACACAAAACAACACAAACAAAAUGUCUAUACACCUAUAGUGUCAAACUAAGCCGAUACAACUCCAAAAUAAGCUCGAAUUCCAAAAAGUCCCUAGCAGAGUCCCGAGAGCUGUCACACCCCUUUUUUAACCAAAAAGAUUCAUUUUAAGUUUGAAAGAGUUUUUAUUAUUAGGUGACAAAAGAUGAACAUUUGUUUAGAAAAAAGAUUAUUUACAUUUUUGUUCAGAGUCGCCACUUGACAUAAUUCGGCGUGCCAAGUCACCUUGAAAAAAUCCUUUUCAAAAUGACUUGACUCUUUAAACUGGUUUGCAAACAGAGAUUCGGGCUAAGGAAUUCUAUUGACCAAGGGGAAGGUGUUAGGCACCCCUCGAUUCCGUGGUUCGACCACGAUUGUUUGGUGGAGCAUAUCGGCUAAUUUGACACAACAAAAUGUAUAAACCACAAAAAAACACGAAAAAAGCAAAUAAACAAAUCAAACAAAAUUCAAAACCAAAAUAAUGUCCAGUCUGAAUUAUACAGUCCCAAGGAUAGAAAAAUACGAAAAGAUAAAUCCUAUUCUAGACUAAUCCUAAACUAUGCUCCAAUGCUUACCCGAUGCCUCGGACCUUCAUCACGAACGUCUUCCGCCAACAUAAUACGUCGGGGCAUUCCCCGGUUAAUAAAUACAAUGUGUCUCGGGGAUCCCCCGGCUAAAUAAAUACAUUUUCCAAAUGCGAGAAAGACAAAUCAUUUCACAAAUAUUUCAAACACUCAUUUAAACAUUCAACGCAUUUAAUCAACACACCACUCCUAAAUUUUGCCUACCCGAACCUAAACAUUUUUCCUAUCCAAUUCGACCUAUCAUGAUACUAUAGAAUUCACAAACUUAAUUCCAAAUUAAACAAAACAACAACGAACCAACAUUAAACCAAAUUUAUCCUUUUUAUCAAUCUCGCAAUUCCACCCCAAAUUCUCUUCUCCACCAAUAAUUAACACAUGCUUCGAUUAUCAAAUCAAUUUUCCACAUUCAAACCAAUAUCAAUCGACACAAAAUAAAGAUUCAAACAUGUCAAACAACAAAUCAUUCACAUUCACGAAAAUUAAAGGAAGAGGAGAUAGAAUUGGACCUCAAUGCCGCUUUCAAAAUCGAUGUAUUAUUCGAUUAAAUGGGGUGCAAUCCACAUCCUAAACCUCGAGUCGAACCCAACAAUGACCAAUCAAACCUCAAUACAUACUCGUCACUAUUUUGACUAUUUUUCGACACCGUUCUCCAGCAGACUUCGCUGAAAUCGGACGAAGUUGGUCCAAUACGAUCGAAUUAGAGUCGGAGGCGUGGUUUCUGUCACGUCGAAACUCCGGCGAGCUUUGACAGUAACAAAAAACAGAGAGAAACUAACCACCAUACCGUUUUCUAACGGGAUCCGAUGAUGGAGUGGAUAUUUGGUUGUUGUUUUUUAUGUUUCCGGUCGAUCUCCGGCAGUCACGGCCAUAGACGACGAUUGGGUAUUCUCCGAUUGGUAAUUCCGGUGAUAGUUUCUUUAGAAAACUGAGCCAAAAUCUGUUACCCCUUUUUUGAUCGGUUCUCUCUCCCUCAAUUCUCUCUCUCUAUUCUCUUUGCUGUUUUACUCUGAUUUCUUCACUAUUUCCGACCUAUCUCCCUCCGUUCAUCUUUCCCGAUCUAUUCUACUGUAUUUCUCCCUUUUCAGUGAUGUGUGUGUAUACCAGUAUGUGGGUGUGUGCAAAUCAGUGAGGGCGAGUGAUUAUUGUGAGCUGUGUGUAUAAUAUGUAUGUAUAUGGUGAGAGAAUGUGAUCAUAAUGAUGAUGUGGGUCCCACCUUAUAUUGUUAUGGGGUAUUGUUGUUGUGAGUAAAAAAAUAUGCUCCUCCUCACGUGUCGUGUAUGAUGUGUACAUAUUUCUUUUGGUGAGGUGUUCUUUUUCUUUGAGUUUGUUAGGAAAAGAUAAAAUUAGUUAGGAGUUGUUAUAAUUUUUUUUGUAUUUUUGUGGGGUAUAAUUACAUGGAUGAGGGUGUACAAUAAAGUGAGGUAAAAAUGAAUACAAUUAGACUUGGGAGGGACAAAAUUAGGUGUCCACAAUUAUGAUGAAAUAAUGGAAUUAUUAUAUAUUGGGGUAUGAUAUGUAAUUAAGUGGGAGUAGAGGAAUUUUUUGGUAAUUGUAUAAGAGGUGGUCGAAACCACCUCUUCUAUAUAAUAGAAAAGUAAUAAUAGUGUUAUAAUCAGUUUGUGAAUAUCUCGACUAAUCUAUUAUUAUUUGUUUAUUGUCUACUAUCAUUAUAUAUAUGAAUCGAAUAACGAUUUUGUCAUCGAGAUCUAGACUAAUGAAAAAUAAUUCAUUUAGUAUUGUCGCAUCCAGUGUUUUAAAAGGCAAGUUUGGGAAUCUUCUCAAGAUGGGGCACUAACGAAUUAAAACGUCUCGAAACUCAAGUGUAGUACUUAAUUCUAUGAGGUUUACGCCUUAAGCAUCCGAUCAUAUGUCUUAAAAAUACUUUAUACAAUGCUUGGGGUUCAGCUAGUAACUCUUACAUAAAUUAAAUAUCAAAUUCCUUAAUCAACACUUUUAAUCCUCAUAAUUCUAUAAUAAAUGAAUCAUGCUUAGUGUUUUUCAUCUAUAGAAUAGGAAAAAUGAGAGUAGCUAAAUAACAAGUCGUAGUAUUGCUUAUUUAUUUUUUGAGAAUGUCGUGAGGGUGAAUAUGAAUUAAUUUUUUAAAAAAUAUAGACUGAAUACAUAUAUAGGCCCCUCAACUAUUCGAUCUUUUCCAUAUAGACGCCUCAAUUAAGCCAUGUACCUAUUGAAUCCUUUACUCCUUCAUAAAACAUGUCAAUUGAGUCCAAUCUGUUGACGUGACAAAAACUAUAAAAUGCGUGUAAUACACAUGCUAAUGAUAUGGCAAAGUGACAAAUCAAAUAAUGACGCGUGGCAUUUUAACUUAAAAUAAUUAUAAAAAUAAUUUUAAUAUAAUUAAAUCCAAAUUUGAAAAAAAAAACUAAUACACCCCACCCCCAACAGCCCUUUUCUUCCAACCNNNNNNNNNNNCCUCUUCGAUUGAGCACAAACAGUUAAAAAAAAUAAAUUGUAUCUUAUUCUUCUUCUUCAAUUUUAUUUUAUUCUGUUUUUUAUUGUUUAGUUAAUUUCGUUGAUAUUCUGAUUAUUGAAUCGAUUGUAUUGUCUUGAGUCUUACUUGGUUGUUAUUUUGAUCUGAAAAUCGGAAAAUUAUUAGGAUUUUGUUUUCAAUUGAAUUUUUUGUUAUUGAAUUGGUGUUGAUUUAAGUAUUUUUUUUUUUUUAGUUGUGAAGAUGGAUGGAUUGAGAAGCCAUUAAUGAUUUUUAAAGAAGUCAUUAAUGGAGAAGAAGAUAUGGACAAGAAGAUGAUGGCUAUUUCUUUUUUUUUUUAAAAAAUUCUUUAAUAUGUUCUUUUUAUUGGUUGGGGUUUUUUAUGUUUAAUUUUUUGAUUAAUUAUGAUUUCUCACUCAACUUAUAUAUGAAUGAGUUUUAAAGAAGCCAUUAAUGGAGAAGAAGAUGGGCUAUUUCUUUCUUCUUCUUUUUUUUUUAAUUUCUUUAGUGUUUUUUAUCAUUGGUUGAAGUUUUUUAUAUUUAAUUUUUUUUAUUAAUUAUGGUUUCUCACUCUCCUAAUGGAGAUUGUAUUAAACAUGUCAUGUCAUGUCAGCACCAUGUUAGCGAUUGGGCUUAAUUGACACAUUUUGCGAAGGAGUAAAGGAUUCAAUAGUUACAUGCCUUAAUUGAGAUGUCUAUACGAAAAAAAUCGAAUAGUUGAAGGACCUGUAUAUGUAUUCUGCCAAAAAUAUACAUACAUACAUACAUCCGAAAUUUAUAUCUUCACUUGAUUGAUCCUUAUGUUUUUGGCCAAUGUCUCAAAAUUAUCAUAAUUUAUUAAUUUAUUAUUUGAAAGUGUUUUAUUUUUAUUCACGGAGAAGUUAUGUUUUAAUUAUAAUACUAACAAUUUGUUGAUUUAUUUCUUUUGGGAUGUAAACUGCAUAGUAUAAUAGCCAUAAUUUUUAAGAAUUGUGAUUCUUUUAUUGUUUGAAAGUUAAGAUGUUAGAGUUGAUUUACAUCACAUAAUAGCUUUUAUAUCAUUAAAUUACCUCUACUUAUAAAGUGAUGUUAGAAUUCUGUUUUCUAUGAGUAUUUUUAAUCAUGUUUUAAAUUUUGAAAUAUUAUUAAUGUAUUAUUUUUUAAAAUUGUUGUGUUAUUAUAAUAUUUAACUAUGUUAUAAGUUAAAAUUAAAACUAAAGAUUCACGGGUGCAAAGGUUUUAUGAAGAUAUGAUAAAUUAUUAUUUGCGGAGGAAUUCUUCCUCAAUACAUACAAGAUGCUAUACAAAGUGUAGUUGAAUAUCAACUCUCUAAGAGAUAAACUAUAAUUCUAAUUUUAUGUAAAGAGAUAAACUGAACAAUUCUAAUCAAAUAUAAAUACAUAAAUGUGACGAUUAUGAUAUCCUAACAUGCCCCCGCAAGCUGAGCAGUGGUUGUGCAACUGCAAGCUUGAAACACAGGAGAUGAAACUGACGGGAAAGAAGGCUCUUGGUGAAGGUGUCUGCUAACUGAUCCAAGGAACUGAUAUAGGGAACGUUCAAGUCCUUAGAGGUCACUUUCUCUCGAACAAAAUGAAAAUUUAAUUCAAUAUGUUUGGUUCAUGCAUGAAAAAUAAAAUUGGCAGUGAGGUAGGUAGUAGACAGAGUAUCACACCAUAGUGCGAAAGCUUGGGGAAGAGAGAUGCAACUCUUGAAGAAGAUGUUGCAUCCAGGUAACUUCUACAGUAGCCGCAACUAAGGCCCUAUUUUUAGCCUCGAUACUAGAUCGUGCAAUUACUCGCUGCUUUUUUGAGCUUCAUGACACUAAAUUGGGUCCAAGAAAUAGACAAUAACCAUUGGUAGAUCGCCGAUUAUCUGGACAACCAGUCCAGUAAGCAUCUAUGAAGGCCUGAAGUGGUAAGGAGCUAGCGAAACGCAAAUGCGAACCGAGGUUUAGGAUUGCCUUUAAAUAGCGCAACAAGUGUUUUAUAGCAGUGUAAUAAGACUCCAUAAAUUUAUGCAUGAAUUCACAUAAUUUGUUGACAGUAAAUGACAACAAAACUUAUAUACUUUUUUUUUCAUUGAUAAAAGGGCAUUACAAUUACAUAGUCCAUGAGUUUUUUGAAACAAGAUGGACAAAAGCUUUUGCUUUUUCUUUUGAUCACUGGCUCAACAAAAUACACUAUAGAUUAUGAUAGAUAUAAACUUGUUUGAGUACUGGAAAUACUAUAUUUUUAACAAGUUUCACAAAACAAUAAUAAUAACAAAGUAAUUAACCACUUGAUAUAUAAGAGCGCAUAGGACACAAUUCCAAGAGUUAUAAAAUAUAGGACAACAUUAAUAUUGCAUGCAAUGCAACAAUAUCCAAACUUUGUUGAUCAAUGAAGACCACCACCAAUACCGCCACCGCCACCAAAGCCUCCACCAAAACCUCCACCAAGUCCACCACCUCCUCCUCCACCAAAACCACCACCACCACCGACGCCGCCACCAAGACCACCACCAGCACCAAAACCACCUCCUGCACCACCACCGACGCCGCCACCAAACCCUCCCCCUGCUCCACCACCUCCACCAAGACCACCACCACCUCCUAGACCACCACCCGCACCGCCACCAAAACCACCACCUGCACCACCACCAGCACCUCCACCAAAACCACCUCCACCUCCUAAGCCACCACCACCACCAAGAAACUUUUUACUAUAAAUCCCAUGUCCUAAACCCCCACCAAAACGACGAUUCCUAAACAUUAACUUCUCAUUUACAACUUCCUUCGUAACAACAUCAGCAUGGACAUAAUUGUCUACAACAAAUACAAGCAAGAGAAUAAAAAUCCCAACACUACGAGCAGAUAACAAUAAACCCAUUAUUUAUGACUACAAUUCCUAAACCCUAUGUGUAAGAAAUGAACUAAAAUAUCCAGAACAUGCAAGAAUGUUUACAAUAUAUGAGCCUAUUAUAUAGUGCAAGAAAAUCAC
Molecule: long non-coding RNA, 48264 nt
Filed under: Capsicum annuum
Lineage: Eukaryota; Viridiplantae; Streptophyta; Magnoliopsida; Solanales; Solanaceae
Description: long non-coding RNA (CANN_LNC005729)
Source: RNAcentral